AACAACAAUCUCAUCACGUAAAGCAACAUUUUAUAGCCGGUCACGGUCAUCUUUAUGGACAAAAGGAGAGACCUCCAAUAAUUUUAUCAAUGUUUUUGAUGUCUUUCUUGAUUGUGAUCGUGAUUCUGUAAGUUUUUAGAAUCCCCUUUUGACAGUGAAAUUGGGUUGCCUUUGAUUUCAUGUGCUUUUUUACUGAAAAAGAUAUCAAAACUACUUAUCAGAUUAUAUAUCUGGGGAAGCCUGAUGGCCCAACAUGCCACACGGGGUCAGAGACAUGUUAUUACACACCAGUUGAUGAACUUCUGAAAAAUCCAGAGGUUAGUCGCAUUCUGUCAUGUGUUUUAAGUUUUUUUUUUCAUCAUCUUAAUAUUACCUUUCUAAAAAUAAGUUUUUAAUCAUCACAUGAAUUCAAUGAUAAUUUGCUUGUCAUUUCUAUUGGAAAAUGGUCUAUAUGAACCUGUCUAAUAUGUUGUAGCUGCGCUAGGUUGAGAAAAACGAGCUGGCUUUGACAACUCUAUACGCAUUAGAAUCUACAAUCAACCAAAGGAAGGCAGAAACGUCCAGCUCUUCAAAUGGAAAACCCUCGUGGACAAAGCGAUUGUUGCUUGAUGACAAGUUGCUUUGCUCCAAAAUUCGGUAUCUUGCUUGACAUACUUGAUCUUAUCAUUGAUUGAUAUUCAGAAAAGUAGUUCCCUACUCACAUACUUAUUUGGAUAUUAAAUUGGGCUUGAUGGGUAUUUUACAAUUUUCUUCUGAAAUUUUUUCUUCACAUCUUGCAGAGAGGAGGCUGACGAGUUAUGCCGAACUCUGGAGCAAAACGAGGAUAAUGGACGGACUGCCUCAGAGAUGGCAGAUGUCUUGUAUCAUGCCAUGGUUUUGCUUUCUCUUAGAGGAGUAAAACUCGAGGAAGUUAUGCAAGUCCUAAGACAAAGGUUUUCAAAGUCAGGCAUUGAAGAAAAAAAUAGCCGGAAAUCCUAAAACAUAUGGUAUAGUAAAAACCUUUUCCUCUAUGACCUGAUUGAAUUCACCUCAAUACAAAUGAAUUUGUCUUUACGAGGAAUGCCAAAAUAGGUUCAUCUGGCUUUAACAUCAUGCGAAACUCUAGUGUAAAGCAAUGAUGCCAAUGUCCCACUUCUGUAACAUGUGACUUUGGUUAGGUAUAGUUAAUUUACAAUCUUAGGUAACUAGCUACCUCUUUCCUUUCUUUGUCAUGCCUUCAAACUCCCUUUCUGCAAAUGUUAUAGCUUGUUAGCUCUCGUAUGUGAUUACUGUUUCCUUUCAACUUCUCUAUCCGAUCUCGUAUGCUAUAGCAGUUAUUGAGCUCAGUUCCAUGACUUCCUUUGAUACAAUGACCGUCCUCCUUCCUUUCCUUCGUAUGGGGUGCCUACGAUGAUCUCUCAUGUUCUUUCUAUAUCGGAGAUUUUGCCUCAACUGUGCCUGGAGUAGGAGAGUGUUUCGUUUGAUCACUGACUUGGUGCAACUUUUGCAUUCACGCCAUCCUUAUUCACGACUAAUAACUUGUUUUUCAACACGUUCGUGCAGGGUAUACAGUUGAAGAAGGCCUCAUUAUUAUCGACGAUUGUUCUUUGCUUUCUACAAAAGAGUUUGAGAGAGAGGGAGCAUGCAAAAGCAUUGAAAGCUCCUCCCUAUGUCAAUAUAGAUUAUAUUGAUGUAAUUUUGCUAAACUAUGGUAACAUAUAUGUAUUUUUGAUUCUCAUCAUUUUUGUAGUUUGAUGUGAGAUGAAUGGUUUUCCUAUUGUUAAAAUUCUCUUUAUUUUUGUAAUGAGGGUUGUUGUAGGCUUGUGAGUCAUCGUAAAACUAGCUAAUUUCAUGAUGAUUCCUCGUAAUAUGAGUUUAUACGGAGUAGCACGAUCAGUGCGGUAUCAUAUAGUCGAUUUCAAUUUGCUUGAGACCCUGCUUAACUAUUGGUGAUCUAUUUUUGAAAAGUAACAAACAUUUAAAUAAUGAAAUUUUGGUGGAAAUAACUUUAAUGGUUCUCCAAUCAACUCCACUGUCAUGAUAUUAUUGGCUAUGAGUCAAAAAAACAGUUUGAUCAUUCCUACUUUAUAAAAUACCUUUCUUGGAAUACAAGUUGUUACUUCCAUCUCCAAUAUUUCUCCUCUUUUUCUUUUAAGAAAAAUAUUUUAAAAUUUAUAGAUUUUGAUAAUCUUUUCCAAAUAUUAAAAUAAUUUAAAUGGAAAAAUAGCUUGUCAACUUUUUUAUUAAAAAAUAAAUUAAUUUUAACAUUUUAAAUCUACAGUCAUGAUUAAAAAUAUUAAUUUAACAUAUACAUCAAGUGCGUGUAAGCUUUUUACCUUCCUACUUUCUCCCAUAACAAUGCAAAUUUACUCCAAAUCCAUUUCUUCACCCUACAUAAUAAAACCAAUAAUAAAUACAAGUAAAAACGUUUUCCUCUCCUAAACAAAAUCCAACCAAAAUAAUUUUAAAAACAAACAAACAAAAACAAUGAACCAAAAUCCCCAAUGACAAUCCAAGGAACCAAACAUCAGAAAAAUAUAUAUAGAUCUAAUCUUUUUUUUAUUUUUAUUUUUAUUUUUAAAAACAAUUGAAUUAUUAUUAGCAAGUAAAUUCAUAAUAUUAAUAUGAUAAAAAAUACAAUUAAAACGAUAGUACAAAAUUAUUAUAAACAAAAACAUACUCUCUCCGUCCCAAAUUGAAAUGACACAUUGAUUAAGAAAAAAUAAUUAAUAAUAUGGCUACUUUAUCAUAAUACAUCUAUUAAAUAAUGUUUACUUAUUACUUUGAAAAAAAAAUAAUUAAUACAAAGGGUAAAACAUGAAAAAAAAAUUAUCUCUUCUUGAUUAAUGAAAAAGGAUAAGUAAAAUGAAAAAUCAAAUUAGAAAAUUUGGGACGAUAAUUUGGGAUGGAGGGAGUAACAAAUAUAAAUGUUACGAUGAUUUCUACUCUCUCCCAUCACAACACAAAUUUACUUUAUUACCAAAAUCUAUAAUUUUUUUAAUAUAUAUAUAAAUAGUAAAAACCUUUUCAUCUCCUAACAAAAAUCCAAUAACAACAAAAAUAUAAUGAACCAAAAUCCCCAUUGACAAAACGAAAUUGAUAUAUAUAUACAUACACACAAGAGAUCUCUCUACUCUUUUUUUUUUUCGUGUGUUUUAAUCAAAUUGCAGUUGAAUUAUUGAGUAGGAAUGUCAGGUGUAUCAUUGAAGUGUGGUGAUUGUGGAACACUUUUUAAAUCUGUGGAAGAAGCACAAGAACAUGCUGAACUUACUUCACAUGCUAAUUUCUCUGAAUCAACUGAAGCUGUUCUUAAUCUUGUUUGUACUUCUUGUGGCAAGCCUUGUCGUUCCAAAACGGUAAAAAAAAAUUGACCCCUUUUGCUUCUUUUAUUGAUUAUGUUUAGCUAUGAAAAGGGUUUUAAUGAUUUGUAAAGAAACUUGUUGGAUUUUAUGUAGUUUGAGAUUGAGGGGUAGUUGUUGUAGGUGUGAAGUACCUCGAGGAGGAUUCAAGAUUUGAACUUUAUGGGUUUGGGGUGUCAUUGAAACCAUUGAUAAUUUGUCCCUUUUGUUGAUUGUGUGUAGUUAUGAAGAGGAUUUUAAUUAUUUGUAUAGAAAAUUGUUGGAUUUUAUGUAGUUUGAGAUUGAAGUGUAGUUUUUGUAGAUGUUUAAGUACCUCGAGGCGGAUUCAAGAUUUGAACUCUAUGGGUUUCAAGAGACUAUUGAGUAAUUGGGUGUAUCAUUGAAGUGUGGUGAUUGUGGAACACUUUUUAAAUCUGUAGAAGAAGCACAAGAACAUGCUGAACUUACGUCACAUGCUAAUUUUUCUGAAUCAACUGAAGCUGUUCUAAAUCUUGUUUGUACUUCUUGUGGCAAGCCUUGUUGUUCCAAAACGGUAAAAAAAAAUUGACCCCUUUUGCUUCUUUUAUUGAUUAUGUUUAGUUAUGUAAAGGGGUUUAAUGAUUUGUUGCUGUUGUUGUUCUAGUUUGAGUUGGAGGAGUAGUUGUUGUAGAUGUGAAGUACCUCGAGGCGGAUUCAAGAUUUGAACUUUAUACGAGUUUUGGGACAUUGGGUUUGAAACUUGAUGUUUGUGAAUAGGUUUGUAAUGAUUUGUAUAAAAAAAAUGUUGGAGUAGUUGUAGGUGUGAAGUACCCUGAGGUGGAUUCAAGAUUUGAACUUUAUAUGAGUUUUAACAAAUUGGGUUUGAAGUUUGAUGUUUGUGAAUGGGUUUUUAAUGAUUUGUAUAGAGAUUGUUGGACUUUUAUCUAGUUUGAGAUUGAAGAGUAACUUUUGUAUUGAACUUUAUAUGAGUUUUUGCAAAGUGGGUUUGAAAUUCGAUGUUUGUGAUGCCCCUUUUAUUGAUUAUAUGUAGCUAUGGAUAGGGUUUUAUUGAUUAGUAUUUCCAAUUUGAGAUGGAGGAGUAGUUGUUGUAGGUGUGAAGUACCUCGAGGCGGAUUCAAGAUUUGAACUUUAUAUGAGUUUUAGGAAAUUGGGUUUGAAAUUUGAUGUCUUGAAGCCCCAUUUAUUGAUUAUAUGUAGCUAUGAAAAGGGGUUUAAUGAUUAUAUAGAAAAUUGUUGGAUUUUAUGUAGUUUGAGAUUGAGGGGUAGUGGUUGUAGGUGUUAAGUACCUCGAGACGGAUUCAAGAUUUGAACUUUGUGGGUUUGGGGUGUCAUUGAAACCAAUGAUAAUUUGCCCCUUUUGCUCCUUUUAUUGAUUAUUUUUAGCUAUGAAAAGGGGUUUAAUGAUUUGUUGUUGUUGGUCUAGUUUGAGUUGGAGGAGUAGUUGUUGUAGAUGUGAAGUACCUCGAGGUGGAUUCAAGAUUUGAACUUUAUAUGAGUUUUAGGAAAUUGGGUUUGAAAUUUGAUGUUUUGAAGCCCCUUCUAUUGAUUAUGUUUAGCUAUGAAAAGGGGUUUAAUGAUUUGUUGUUGUUGUUCUAGUUUGAGUUGGAGGAGUAGUUGUUGUAGAUGUGAAGUACCUUGAGGUGGAUUCAAGAUUUGAACUUUAUAUGAGUUUUAGGAAAUUGGGUUUGAAAUUUGAUGUUUGUGAAGCCCCUUUUAUUGAUUUUAUGUGUCUACGGAUAAGGUUUUAAUGAUUAGUUGUUCCAAUUUGAGAUGGAGUAGUAGUUGUUGUAGGUGUGAAGUACCUCUAGGCGGAUUCAAGAUUUGAACUUUAUGGGUUUGGGGUGUCAUUGAAACCACUGAUAAUUUGUCCCCUUUGUUGAUUAUGUGUAGGUAUGAAUAUCGUUCCAAUGAUUUGUUGUUAGAAUUGUUGGAUUCUAUCUAGUUGUUGUAUGUGUGAUGUGCGCGUUGACGGAUUCAAGAUUUGAACUUUAUGAGUUUUAGGGAACUAUUGGUUAUGUGUUUGAGUGAUUGGGUUUGAUAUAUGAUGUUUUAAUGAUUAUAUGUAGCUAACAAUAGGGUUUUAAUUAUCUAGUUUGAGAUUGAGGAGUAGUUGCUGUAGGUGUGAAGUAUCCCGAGGCGGAUUUAAGAUUUGAACUUUAUAGCUUUUAGGAAGCUAGUGAUCAUGUAUUUGAGUGAUUGGGUUCGUUUUAAUGAUUAAAUGUAGCUAAGAAAAGAGUUUUAGUUAUCUAGUUUGAGAUUGAGGAGUAGUUGUUGUUGGUGUAAAGUACACGGAGACGGAUUCAAGAUUUGAACUUCAUAUGAGUUUUAGGAAAUUGGGUUCAAAAUUUGGUGUUUGUGAAUAGAUUUUUAACAUGGAUUUUGCCCCUUUUAUUGAUUAUCUGUUGCUAAGAAUACCCUUUUAAUGAUUUAGAUAGACAAUUGAUGAAUUCUAUGUAGUUUGAGAUGGAGGAGUAGUUAUUGUAGGUGUGAAGUAUGCGGAGGCAAAUUCAAGAUUUGAACUUUAUGAAUUUGGGGUGUCAUGAAACUGCUGAUAAUUUGCUUUAACGAUUGUUGGUAGCUAAGAAUAGGGUUUUAAUGAUGUGUAAAGUCAAUUGUUGGAUUGUAUGUAGUUUGAGAUUGAGAAGUAGUUGUUGUAGGUUUGAAGUACCCAGCGGCAGGUUCAAGAUUUAAACUUUAUAUGAGUUGAGGAACUACUGAUUAUUUGACUAAUUGGGUUUGAAAUUUGGUGUUUGUGAAUAGAUUUUCAGCACGGGUUUGAACCAAAGCUACUGAAUUGGGAUGAACAGGGUUUUAAUGAUUUGUUUAGACAAUUGCUGGAUCCUAUCUAGUUUUGAGAUUGAGUAGUAGUUUUUGUUGGUGUGAAGUACCCAGAGGUCGAUCUAAAAUUUGAACUUUAUGGUUUUGGAAUGUCACUGAAACCGCUGACGAUUUGAGUUAUAGGACUUUGAUGAUUUAUAUAGCCAAUCGCUGGAUCCUAUCUAGUUUCAUUGAGGAGUAGUUGUUAUAGGUCUGAAGUAACCCGAGACAAGCAAUCUAAGUAGCUUAGUUGGUUGGCUGGUUACCUGAACUUUCAUCUUGUCAGUGAGGGUUUGAUUUCCCUGCUUUGUAAUUUCCUUACCUAUUUCCCCUUCCCCUCCCCCCAAUGAAAAAGAACCUGAGGCGGAUUUAAGAUUUGAACUUUAUGGGUUCUAGGAAACUACUGAUUGUUUGAGUAACUGGGCUUGAAAUUUGAUGCUUGUGAAUAGAUUUUCAGCACGGGUUUGAACUGAAGCUAUUGAAUUGGGCCGAGAUCAUACCUUACUUUGUUAAAUCUGCCUCUAGAAGUACCACUCCUCCACUGUGACAUGGAUGCAUGCUUAAUAUACUUUAUAUACUUCUCAAAUAAUUUAUUUGUAUACAGUUCUAGUCAGAAGCUAUUGACUCGUAGCUGUGGUAAGAUUGGAUCCCCGCAUGGCACCCUAGGCUUUGAUUCAACGAUAAAGGUCGUAGAGGUGGAUUCAGGAAUUGAAUAUUAUGGGUUCAACUUCGGCAUUCUAUCACAGCCCAUUUGAUUUACCUAGUUCAAAAUCUGUUAAUUAUAUGUAAUUAUUUAGCAUAACUUUAACACAUAUGACCAGGAGGUCACGGGUUGCUGCCUUGGAAACAGCCUAACAGCCUCCGGUAGAAAUGCAAGGUAAGGCUGCGUACAAUACACCUUUGUGGUGGGGACCUUCCCCGGACACCGUGCAUAGCGGUAGCUUUAGUGCACCGGGCUGCCCUUUUUAACUUUUAACACAUAUAUAGGGUCUGAGUGAAGGUAACCAGAUUUGGUUGACCCUGUAGUUGACUAAAGAACUACGUCCUCCUCUGGGUAGUACCACAUCGUCGAACCAAGUCUGGUAGUUAAAUGUGAAAGGUAGAGUGGCAGAUUCAUUAUCCAUCAAGUUUUGAAGCUGAAAAUAGUGGAAUUCCCAUUUAUAUAUAUAAAAAGAAAAGAAUAAAAGGUUGGAUCUGCCCAGUUUCUUGGUGUAGUAUAUUAUAUUGCUAUUCAUGUGAAUUUGGGUGGAGAUAGUUUGUCGUAAAUCAAAAUGCUUACACUAAUACAGUAAACUCUUCUGAUCGUUAUGUGAACUUUUAUUUCCGCUGUAAUGAUGAUUAAACUGUUGAUGUAGCUUGACAAUGUAGCUUUUUGUGAAUUUCGGUUGUAUUUGAUAUAUGAAGGAGAGUGAUUUACACACCAAGAGAACUGGGCACACGGAAUUUACUGACAAGACAGCAGAGGCAGUGAAGCCAAUCAGCUUGGAGGUGCCAAAGCCAAAGCCCAACGAUGAUGAAGACAUGGCAGAGGGUGGUGAUGGUGGUACUGGCCAGCAUGAAGGUAGUAAUUCAUUAGUGUUGCAGAUUUUGGCCUUUUAAGUGACAAUAUAGUUGUCAUUUAGUGCUAUGAGCACAGGAAAGAUGUUUCUUUCCCUCUUUAAUUUUUCUUUCUGAAAGCUAUUUGUAGUAGGACUUAGAUAAUGUGCUUCAAAUAGUACGAUGAACAUUUGAGAGAAGUUACAACAUCUAAACAAGUCAGGAUGGAGGGAUGUUUUCAUUUGUUUAACGCUUUUAUUCAUCGAGCAAGCUCUUCCUGUAGAUCUAGAAUUUGCAAAUGUAAGGUGCUUAUCAUCCAACCCUAAUAAGAACUAUGAGACCCAAAAUGGCAGCUAAAUAGGUGGUCAUAUGAGGCAUAAGCAUCUGAGAAGUCCUUUAUUUUUGUUGUUUAUACAUGAAUAUAUUGGUACUAAUAUACCUUUUCUUGCUAGAAAUGGUUGUUCCUGAAGUUGACCAAAACCUGCUCUCGGAACUCGAGACAAUGGGAUUUCCGAAAGCUAGGGCUAUCCGGGCACUCCACUUUUCUGGUGAGUACUUCUGUAGAUGAGAAUUUUCAUUGUUAUCAUUGUCAACAUCUAUUGGAGACUUGAAAACAUCACAUAUCCAAAAAAAAAAAGGAAAUCCAUGUAUGACGAUUGACGCAUUCAGGUGCACUUAUGUAAUGCGUUUUUUUAAGUCGAGACUCUUGAAUACAAAUAGAGAUACAGCUCCGAAGCGGUCCAUUCUCAGCCAAACCCAACUACUGUUUUGUGGUACUGGACUGAGUUGAGAAUCUUAGCCUGUUAGUACCCAAGACCGGGGGGAAAGGGGGAGGGAGGAAUCUGAAUGCCCUCCAGCAGCUAACUUUUUCAGCAUUUCCUCGUUACUUUGAUCAAUCUAAUAGGAUGUCGAUCUCCCAAAUUCGUAUGUUUUCUCUUGACCUCCUUGUUGUCUGUAUGAGGUUCCUCUUUGUUUCAUCUAUAAAAGUCAAGGCAUCUGAUUGUUCAUGCCUGUGAAUUUGGAUGCAGGCAAUGCCAGCUUGGAGGCUGCUGUAAAUUGGGUUGUAGAGCAUGAAAGUGACCCAGACAUUGAUGAAACACCGAUGGUAUGGAAAUUUCAGAUUUCUACGUUUAAUUGCUUAGUUCACUAACUAAUUUAUAUGUUGUGGUUACUGCUUCCUUAUGAGAUUCAUAAAGACGUUCCUUUUUGUGUCAUUAUUUAUGAUCUAUAUUAGAAGAAAGUUGUACUCAUUUAUGUGAAUGCUGUGGUUGAAUGCAUCGUUUAACCUGUUUAGAAGAGAACUUAGUUCUUAGCAUUAUAAGGGUAUGAGACCAGCUAGGACACUACAGAUUGAAGGAUGAUUGGAGACGUCCAAUACAUGCUCAACCAGGUCUAGGAAAAAUUAAAAGAGUAGUUUGCACUUUGCUGAUUGUUAGGUAACUAUGUUUACCAGGGUUUGACAAAUGGGAGGAAAUCACCUAGUGUUUUUGCCUCCGUUGAGAAUUGAACAUGAAACCUCAAGGUUGCGCAACCACUUCAUUGACCAUUAGGCCACACUGUUUGGUGCAAUAAGAUGCACCUUAUUAUGAGAAGGCAAUUCUUUUCUCAGUGGUCCAGUGAAGAAAUGUUGUUGCAUCUUUGCACGAACCUGUAAGCAUUUCUACAGAGGAAUAUAUUAAGUUCGUCAAUGAAGUCAUUUAGAUUUUUUUUUUCAUAUGUAAUGGUGGACCAUAUGUUUUAUCCAGUAACUUCCAACUCACCCUGCUUAGAUAAUGCAAUGAUUAUUGAACUUUGCUAGGUACCUGCCAGUGCCAAGAAAGCUGAGGCUUCAAAGCCUUCUCUUACUCCAGAGGAAAUAAAGAUGAAACAACAAGAGUUGAAGGAGCGUGCUCGUAAAAAGAAAGAAGAGGAAGACAGACAAAGAGAAAGAGAGAGAGAAAAGGUAGUCUUGAUUUAGAUUUUGAGUUAGUAUGCUUUAAUGGAAGUCAGUUGAAUAUUAUUUAUUGAAUUACAUUCUGAAACUGGUGGUGGUUGAUCGGAUGCAUUAUUAGUUAACUACAUUUUAUGUUUUGAUUUGUAAUCAAUUUAGUUGAAUAUGUUAGUAAAAUCGUUCUGCCUUCUGCUUCAGGAAAGAAUUAGAAUUGGUAAGGAACUCCUGGAAGCAAAACGGAUUGAGGAAGAUAAUGAAAGAAAACGGUAAGCCUUGAGCUCUGCUACUCUUUUCUGUUUUCACUCUCAGCGAUAUUUUCCGCUUUUCUGUAUAGUAUAAUAGCAUUGCGCAAGGCCGAAAAAGCGGAAGAACAACGAGCUAGGGAGAAGAUUCGUCAGAAGCUGGAAGAAGAUAAGGUCAGAAACUCCAGUCUAUCAUGAAAUUUCUUCAUCCCUUCUAUAUCUAGCUUGCUUGAUGGAACUUGUCAAUUUACUAAUGUCUAAAAUGUGUCUUUGUAAAUAUAUUUGUUUUCACUUAAAAACAGUAUUUGUUACCAGCCAUCUUGUCACCUGCUCUUUGCUGGGCAGCCUAGAGCGUUUAGAAGUUAGACUGAUUAGAGUCAUAUGGUUUGACUAAACUCCUAGUGGUGGUGAUUCUAGGGGAUGGGCUUGUCUGUUCUCCUCCUGUUGAUAUUUCUAUGAACAUUCUUCACUGUAGAGAGCUUUUUCUGCCACCAACCAAGUAUCCCAUUUAUUCGACUAGCAUGCAUUCAGGAAGGUGAACGUGUAACUUAUGUUGAUAAUUUGCACCUUAGACGAUGCCCGCGUUUGAUUCUCCAGGGGACAAUUUAUUUGCCUGUUUAACAAUAAAAAACAAAAAAGCUUGUGUUAAUAAUUUGAUGUCAGUUUCUUAUUGUGUACUCUGUAAGAGACGUGCAUCAUGUUGCCUCUUAAUAAUACUACUGCAACCUGUGAUUAUGGUUUGACCAGGUUAAGUGCUAUUGAAAUAUAAUCUGAAAUCAUAAGGUCCUGGCAUUUCUACAGACAAGAUACACGUCUAACCAAAUCUACAACCUUUACUGACUUGGUGGUUUUGAAUUAUCAUCUAUUAGGCAAGAAGUUAUCUCUUUUCUGAAAGCAUUAUCAAUUCCUUUUUACCUCUAAAUGGUGUGGGUUUGGGCUAUUGAGGUUUUCCUGAUGUGACUUUUACAUAGGAAAAUAGAUUAUCUCUGUGGAGGUUGCUGCAUCGUAGUAUCGAGUCUGUUGCCUUACAAUAAGAAAAUGAAUUAUUUCUUGUUAUCUCUUUUGCUGCAUUGUUGUGAGGAUUGCACUUUAAAGAUCAUUUUAAUUAGUGAUAUUUAAGAGAAGUCAACCGCUAAAAGUAACAAACUCUGUCACUUCUGUCAUGUUGAAACAAUUGUGUGUACUUUCACAGGCAGAAAGAAGAAGGAAGCUCGGUUUGCCACCAGAAGAUCCCGCUUCCCCCAAACCGUCUACUGCACCUGUUGUGGAGGAAAAAAAGGUGUGUAUUUAUUCAAAAACUGUGUUUAUAGUUUUGUCCCAUAUAAACAUAUAUCCUCCGACUCAAACUUUUUGUAUGUAUUUUUGUUAGAGCUCGUUUUUGCCUGUCAGACCAGCUACAAAGGCAGAGCGGAUGAGAGAGUGCCUGCGAACUCUUAAGCAGGCCCACAAGGUAAUCAUUCAGUUGUUUUUCGGAUACCUAGAGUACUUUCUUGCAGGUUUGAGCUUUGGAAGUGAGAGGUGGUUCAAGGUGCACCAGCUUAUCUUUAUUUUUAAUAACAAAGUGAAGCUUACUUGCUCGUCCACCCUCGGUUUCCAAACUCAAAAGAGUUCAUCGAUACAAAAUAUAAUGAAUUUUAAAUACAAGGAUAGAAUGGAUUAGUGUAUUGCAUUAGGAAGCUUUUUCUUUUGAAAAGUAAUCAAUAAAUACUCCCAAGGAACUGAGUAACCUAUGAAUGACAUUCUACAUUCCUUCGGUGGCUUUUUGAUAUGAACGAGAUGUCAUUCUAACUUCAUUUUCCUCUUGCGAUCCAGGAUGAUGAUGCCAAAGUCAAGACUGCUUUCAACACGCUGCUAACUUAUGCAAAGAAUGUCGCUACAAAUCCCAAUGAGGAGAAAUUUCGCAAGAUUAGACUUAGUAAUGCUGCUUUUCAGGUGAGAUGUCAUCAAGAAAUAGCUGUGCCUCUAUUUUGUUCUUUAGUUACACUUCUGAAACGACUCCUUCACUCUUCGAAAUUCUAUAAGAGAAACCUCAUUUAAUCCUUGCUUUUAUAACCUUGUUAGUUGGUUACCGUCAUUCAAUUUCUGAAAAAUAGGGAGUGGGGUGAGGUUUAUGUACUUGAUUAUUUGCUUAGUCGAUUACUUUGGCAUGCCAAACUGCUGGAUAAUUUAGGACCCUCUCCCAUAUUUCUUUCAUUGUUUAGUUUCUGGUUUGCGGUGGGUGGUAAGGUCGUAUACCUUUUGCCACCCCACCUAGUUCUUGGUCCCCGGCUGAAGAAGGUGGUCUAGCGCUCGUAAAGCUGUUGACCGUUGCAGCAAUAGCCAAUAUUCAAAUUUUUUUAGUCAGAUACUAAACUUGUGAACUAAACACGCCUGUAAACUUGUGACGUUGGGUGUGUUAGAUUGUCUCAGCCAAGUUGAUUCAUAUUAAGCUUAUGAUUCUUGUAACAAAAUAUUCAGAAUUCCUGAUCAGCUUGACCAAGUAGAUUCAUAGACUCAGAGAACUAACACGCCCGCCUCUUUUGACAAUUAUUUUACAGGAUAGAAUUGGCAAACUGCAAGGAGGCAUCGAGUUUCUUGAGCACUGUGGAUUCGAGAAAAUUGAAGGGGGUGAAUUCUUGUACCUGCCAAGAGAAAAAGUGGACAUGGCAGUACUUAAUACUGCUGGAACUGAGUUGAACAAUGCCAUUAAAAAUCCCUUCUUUGGAGUCCUCUAAAUCUUAUACAUUGCUUCAGACAACUUGAUUGAAGGUUACUUGAGUUAAUAUAAACUGAAACUGUAAAAGCUAUUAAGGUUUUGAUGGACUCAUGUUCCUUUUGAACCAUUUUUUAUUACUAGUUGAAGGGAUUAAGUUGAUGUUGAAACUUAUCUUUUUCACUUUCCCACUCCGGGUUUACCGGAAACAGCCUCUCUACUUCACUAAGGUAGGGGUAAGGUCGCGUGUAUUCUACUCUUUGCAGACGCCACCCGUGGUAUCCCUGUGUAUGUUGUUUCCCACGGAUUAGAACCCGGCGCGUGCAUUCUACUCUUUCCGGAUGCCACCCAUGGUAUCCUGUGUAUGUUGUUUCCCACACGGAUUAGAACCCGGCUAAUAUGGAGUUGCGCCGUGUAAGGCUUUGUAAAGGGGGAAACGCUCUACUGGAAACAACCUCUCUACUUCACAAAGGUAGGGGUAAGGUCGCGUGCAUUCUACUCUUUGCAGACGCCACCUGUGGUAUCUUGUUUAUGUUGUUUCCCACAUGGAUUAGAACCCAGCUAAUGUGGAGUUUCGUCGUGUAAGGCUUUUUAAAGGGGGAAACGCACUACUGGAGACAACCUCUCAACUUCACAAAGGUAGGGGUAAGGCCGAAUGCAUUCUACUCUUUCCAGACGCCACCUGUGGUAUAUCCCGUGUAUGUUGUUCCCGGCUAAUAUGGAGUUGCCCCGUGUAAAGCUUUUGAAAUGCUCUACCAGAAACAACCUCUCUACUUUCACAAAGGUACGGGUAAAGUCGCGUGCAUUCUACUCUUUCCGGAUGCCACCCAUGGUAUCUCGUGUAUGUUGUUUCCCACACGGAUUAGAACCCGGCUAAUAUGGAGUUGCGCCGUGUAAGGCCCUUUAAAGGGGAAAACGCUAAAUGCAAUAGCUAAGUAGUGAUGGGCAAUAUUGGUCGAUUAUAAAUUUUGUGUUUGUAAUGAGAUAAAUGGUCAAAACACAUCUAAACUAUUAUUUUUUCGUCGGUUCUAUCCUUUUAACUAUCACAUGUUUCCUUUACAUAUUUGACCUAUCACCAUCAAAGGCGAGUCAGGAUUUCAAUUAGGGGAUCUAAAGUUUGAAGAAAAACUAACCGACGGGGUUCAACAUCUAAUAUAUAUACAUCGAAAGUAAUUUUAGUCAUGCAUAAAUAGUAUAAAUUUCAGUUGAAGGGUGGUUCGGAGCCAGUGGCGGAGCCAAGAUUUUCGCUAAGGGUUUCAUAAGUGAAUAUAAAAAAUAAUCAAAGGGGGUUCAACAUCUAAUAUGUAUACAUAAAAAAUAAUUUUAACUAUGUAUAUAUAACAUAAUUUUUUGUCGAAGGAGGUUCGGAUGAACCCCCUAACCAUAGUGUAGGUCCGCCACUGUUCGGAGCUGCUUGUCAAAGGCUAGCUCUGCCCUUGAUCACCAUCUACUCAACUAUUCUAGUUGAACUAUCAUCAUCUAAGUAUCGAAAAACACUUCGUUGAGAUGAUGACAACAAUUCAAAUAGGGCAAAUGAACGACUAACAAUUGGUCUAAUCAGCUUUGAGGUGUGUUUUAACAUACGAGUAGUGUUAGUACCGUAACUUAUAUUAUAUUAUGAUAAGUAAAUAUAAACUUUGCCUAAUAACUUUAAAUUUUGAUUUUCAAUUUCGAAAAAUUUUCAACCACUUUUUUAUUAUUUAAACUGAUUUCAAGGGGGGACAUUAAUGUAAAUGACCUAUUAUAUAUACCUUCGAUCGAGGAGGGAAAUUAAGAUCGAUAGAUGGUCACUCCGAAGAGCCCGAUUAGAUGAAACCUUCAAACAAAAACACAAUGUUAUUUCGAAUCCAACUCUCAAUUAGAAGGUUACAUCGUGUUCAAUCAAAUAAUAAACAAAUUUUCGAUCAUUUAACCUUCGCAAUGUAAAUACAACCCUGUUCUAUACCCUAUGAUUCUUAUAAAUCUUUUACUCUCCCAUCUCAAUUUAUGUGACAUACUUUUCUUUUUCGUCCGUUCCCAAAAGAACGUCAUGUUUCCUUAUUCAGCAGUUAUUCAAUGACAUCAUCCCUAUUUUAUCCUUUACUGAAUUCCACUUAAUAAGAAAAGACAACUAAAAAGUCGUAAACUUCACAAAUCCAUCGUCUAUUUCUUAACUCCGUGUCCAAUCAAAAGACGACACAUAAAAUGUAAUAACAAAAAACAAUACAAUCUAAUCAAACGUUGUAUUCAUCGAAACAAUACAGAGUUGUCUAACAAACCGACCUUAGCUCAGUUGGUAGAGCGGAGGACUGUAGUUGUUGCUGAAAUCCUUAGGUCGCUGGUUCGAAUCCGGCAGGUCGGAGUACUUUUUUCAAUUUUGUUAUCCUUCACCUCAGCGCAUUUUAGCAUUCCUUAGCUUAACGUGUACCGGAAAAAAAUUAACUAUAAGACUUACCAAAAUUCAGCUACUGUAUUCAAUUCCAAGCGAAAAUUUGCUUAAUGGUAAGUAUUUAUCAAUUUAAUUUUGAGUAAAAAGAGUUCUUUUUUUCUUGUGUUUAAUUUAAAGGGAUUUGAUUGUAAUUGUAUAUAGAGUUGAGCUGUGUUUGAAUUUAUUCAUGUUGUUUAUGAGCUUAAUGGAUCAAGAUCCAAGAUUUUGAAUUUAGUAGUUUUAGAAUGUAUUUAGUGCAUUCUUGAUUUGAGGGUCUAUCGGAAAUAACUUCUUUAUCUUUACGAGGUAGGGGUAAGGUAGCAUUAUGUGGGUUUGGUUGUUUAAAAUUGUAAUCUUUUUAAAUAUAUGUGUGUGUGUGUGUGUUGGGAGGGGGGGGUGGAGGUGGAGGUGGGGAUUUAAAUUUUGUAGUUUUAGACUGUAUUAGUGCAUUCUUGAUUUGAGGGUCUAUUGAAAACAAUCUUUUUAUCUGAACGAGGUAGGGGUAAGGUAGCAUUAUGUGGGUUUAGUUGUUUAAAAAUGUAAUCUUUUUUAUGUGUGUGUAAGGUCUGUGUACACUUUACAUUCCCUAGACCCCACUUUGUCGGACUACACUAGACAGUUUUUUCUAAUGUGUGUGUGUGUGUUGGGAGGUAGGGGGGGUUACAUACGGCAAAAUGCUGAACAGUUGUUGUUUUGAUAAGAUCAGAUUUUAAAUUUGGUUGUUUUAGAAUGUAUUAGUUCUUUCUUGAUUUGAGGGUCUGUCGGAAACCUCCUCUUUAUCCGUACGAGGUAGGAGUAAGGCAUUAUGUGGGUUUAGUUGUUUAAAAAUGUGAUCUUUUUUAUGUGUGUGUAAGGUCUAUGUACACUUUACACUCCCUAGACCCCACUUUGUCAGACUACACUAGAUAUGCUGUUUUUUUAAAUGUGUGUGUGUUGGGAGGUGGGUGGGGUGGGGGUGGGGGGGUUACAUACUGCAAAAUGCUGAGCAGUUGCUGUUUUGAUAAGAUCAGAUAUAUUAGUGCAUUCUUGAGCUGAGAGUCUAUCAGAGAUAACCUCUGUACCUCAUAGAGGUAAGGUCUGCGUACACAUUAGCCUCCUUAGACCCCGCUUUGUGGGAUUACACUAGGUAUGUUGUAGAAUACAUUAGUGCAUUCUUGAGCUGAGGGUCUAUCGGAAACAACCUCUUAACUUCCCAAGGUAGGGGUAAGAUUCGCGUACAUACUACCUUUCCUAGACCCCACUUAUGGGAUUACAUUGGGUAUUGUUGUAGAAUAUAUUAGUGCACUUAUUACUAUGUAUGUGGUUCAAGUCUGGAUAGUGGAGCGUCUUAAAAGUCUGGAUAGUGGAGCGUCUUAAGAGCUAUGAAGUGAAAUUUUAGAUGGAGUGAUUUCUGUAGGGGUUUGGUUAUUUAAAAAUGUAAUCUUUCUUACGUGUGUGUAAGGUCUGCGUACACUUUGACCUCCUCAAACUCCACUUUAUGGUACUACACUCAGGGGCAGAGCAAGUAGGGCUGGGGAUUCCUCUUUGGCAGAAAUUACAUUGUUUAUGUAUGGUUAAAAUUAUUUUUUACGUAUGUAGUAGAUGUUGAACCUCCUUCGACUACUUCGUAUGUUUACUUCUUCAUAUUUUGAACUCCUUUUGUGAAAAUUCUGGCUCCGCCACUGUCUACGCCGAGUAUGUUGUUGUUUUUCUUGAGUGUGUGUGUGUUUGGGUGGGGUGGGGUGGGGUUACAUGCUGAAAAAUGCUGAGCAGUUAUUGUUUUGAUAAAUUUCUAGGCAAAUCCAUUGCGAUUGUAUCUGACAUGCAUAAGAAACACGCUCGAAGCAGCAAUGUGUCUUCAGGUAUGUAACAUUCCACCUGUUAAACAUCAUUAGAAAUUUUUGCGGUUAUGUAAUGGAAUUUUUUUUUCAAAAAGUUCCAAUGUAAGAACACUAAAUACUUAGAUGAGUCCUUUUAAUUGUUGUGUUUGACUUGCAUUGUCGUUGGCCUGAGAUAUAAAGUUUGAGGUUUAUAUGCCGAGACAUAAAUGAAAGUUGGUAGUUUGAGACAUUUCCUAGCAUAAUGCUAUGACGUUUUGGGUGAUUUGAGCCGAGUUGAGUUCCCAUUCCAUUUACAUGUAGGAGUUUUAGUUUCUCGGUAGUCAUAUAUGCUUGUAUGAGGGAGUCCAUAUGCUGCAUGCUACCAAACACUCCUUCCCACCCACUCCACCCCCAACAAAAAAAAAUCUGAAUUCUGCAUCUGCUUUGUACUAUUAUUAUAAUUAUUUUCUUCAUCACCUUCGCUACAUAUUGUUAUGGUUCUUUAAACAUGUGUUAUUUGUUCAGCCAACUAGCUCGGAAUUGAGUAGUAUUAGUUAUUGUUGUAUGUUAUUUCUGCCAACAUAUGUUAUAUGUUCUGCAAAUUAAUUUGUUGCAUUUGACAUAUCUUGAUAUUUCUGAAAAAAUAAUCUGGUUUAUUGUCAUGGUUUGAAUAUAAAAUUGCGAAGUUGCUAGUCGUGCGAUGAGGUAUCAGGUUUUACUUUUAAGCUCCUUCAACAAUUUAUUCAGUAAAUAUGAUGACUUAGUUACUCUAUACCCAUCUUAAUCUCUCGUUUUGUCAUGGUGGUUCGCUGGUUGCAGAAUUUCCCAUGCCAAGAAGUAGAGAGGCAUAACAAACCGGAGGUUGAACUAAAGUAUGACUUCAUGCUGCAGUCUCAUUUUACUCAAAGUUAAUGAUGCCGGUUAAUAUUCCAUAAUUAUCUCUUCUGUAGUUUAUCAAAUGGCUUUACACUUUACAGCAUGCGAAUUCCUUUAAUCCAGAAAAAUUUCAUGUGUAUUCUUAUCAAAUAUAGUAUAGUUGGAUUCUGAAACAAAAACUUCGACUUGCAUGAACAAAUCACUUGGACAGCAGAAUUUGAUAUUUUACUAAAAUGCUGUUGCUGAGUUCUCAGGUCUUUAGGGAGAAACUUAUACGCUUCCUAACUACGCUUUUAAAACAAUUUUUUGAGACAAGUUCUGUUGGAUUCAAUAACUUGUUUUUCAUAUCAAAUGCAGUCUACCUCAUCACAAGGCGAAAUGGGCUGUUAAUGAUUUAACUUUUGGAUGUCAUUGCGAAAAUAUAUAUUUGAAGCUGCUAAAUUUGAGGCAAAUAUAAUUAAUAGCGGAUGUGUUCAUACUCUUGGUAGCAACUCAUAUUUUCUGAACUGCUGUUUCGUAAUGAACUUCUAAGAGAAUGUGACGUUACUUGUCUCUUUUAAAUGUUAUUUGUUACCUGCAAAGCGUGUAUAUCAGAAUAGUAAUGUUUUUCUUAUUUUGUAUGUUCUUCAGGACAAGCCCAGAACUUCUUCUCAAUCCUGUAAGAACUUUUUUAUAUUCUAAACUUUUUUUUUUUUUGAAACUACUUUUUUAUAUUCUUAACUUUGAUCUUUAUUUUGAAGAGCUCCGCUGGGCGGACUAAAUUACAUGUUACUAUGAAUCGCUAAUAGAUGCAUUUAAAUUAGUGAUUGGGUGUUAUUCUGUUCAUAAUAUGUUUGAAGUGUUUAGAGAGUUCUUGCUUUUACCCUGUUCAUAAUAUGUUUGAAGUGUUUAGAGAGUUCUUGCUUUUACAAUAAUAUAAUUUUUCUCUCUCCCGAUUAACUAUUUGUUAAAAACCUGCUCACGAGUUGUUUCUUUUAGCGGCCAACAAAUUGUCGAUGAGUUACUUUAAUUAUGUAACAAGUUGUCCAAACUGUUUGGGGACGCUAGCUAUGAGUUUCUUGAAUGACGUAACAAGUUGUUCUAGUUGGUUGGGAACUAUAGCUAGUCUUACAUUUGGCCAUCUAGCGUCACUGAUGCCGAGAGGUGGAGCCAGGAUUUCAAUUCAGGGGGUUCAAUAUCUGAAGAAAACCUAGUCGAAGGGGGUGCAACGCCUACUAUAGAUACAUAAAAAAUAAUUGUAAUCAAAUAUAAAUGGUAUAUUUUUCCGUCAAAAGGGGUUCGGAUGAACCCCCUGCUAAAGGGCUGGCUCCGCCCCUUCUGAUGCAGCUUUACUUCAUGAUAUUUGCCAUUAGAAAAAGUCAAGUUUCUUUUUUGAUCUUGAUGGUGAGCAUGUUCUCAAUAGCUACGUAGGAUGAAAUAUUCAAUAAUGCAAGGUGCCAAAGAAUAUAGUUAUCUGCCUGCUUUAGGUGUAUAGAGAUGAAUUUUUAUUUUUUUUUCUGCUUGCACACCCUCAAUGGUUAGUCUGUAAACUUCCUUAUAAUAUAUUACCAGUUUCUACCAUGAUAAUUUUAGAUUUAGUGUAACUUGUAAGUUUCUGAUUAAUUGUUAUUCAUUUGCUUCCAAUCUUAGAAGUAAAACUUCUGAAUUAAACUUCUAAUGUUCUUACUGGUACUUUAUCUUGGAAUUCACAUGCCAAAAUUUUUAUUAGUUGUAUGUCUUACGUCGAUCUAUUCAAUCUUUCCCAUGUGCCAAUCCACAGGUUACGAUUUGUAGAAAUGAGGCUGAAAAGUGUUUGAUUGAGACAUCUAUAAAUUCCCUAAGAAUAAGUCUAAAGGUAGGUUUGCUUAGCUCUUCACAUACAUUGAUUCUCAUAUUCCUAUGUAACGAGUUACUCAGCUACAAAUGAUGGUGCAUGUUGGCAAAAAAUAUGCGCAUAAUUUUUUGCCGUUUCUGCUUUCCUUCUUAUAGGGUAGAGUAGAUUACGGUACCUUAAAACUAUAUUUCUCUAGUUAUAUAUCUUCUUCUCUAUGCUAAAUGCCAUUGGCUAGGUGUUCAAUAGCAGUCACAUUGUAGUACCAUAUGCUACCGACUGGUAGAUGCAUCAAAUUGUAGUAACACUAAUGUGUUGUAUUUAGCAUGGUAAAACAAAACUUGGGAUUUGCCAAUAAGUUAAUUGCUAGAUCAUGUAGAAACUCAGAUCAGUUAGAAACUAAUAUUAGUCCCAGAAAAAUAGAAUUUGCAAUGAACUAUAAGAUUCUGGAUUUUGAAAAUCACCGGAAAAAAAAAAAAGAAAAAAGAAAGCUUAAGCUCCUCACGUGCGAUUGUGGCUGUGCAGGUGAAACAGACAGAUGAACUUGAAAAUAUACUAACGAAGAAGUUUCUUAGAUUUUUGUCGAUGAGAGCAGAAGCAUUUCAGGUGUUGAGGAGAAAGCCUGUUGAGGUUUGUAUUUCUUUCAACUCCUUAUAACUGAUUCCAUGCUUUGGCAUGCUAUGUUGCUCGGACUCUUCAAAAAUGUCGACAGAUGCAUGUCGGAUCCUCCAAAAAUAGUGUAUUUUUGAAGGAUCCGACACAGGUGGAGCAACAUUUUUGGAGAGUCCAAGCAACUUGGUUGGCAUGUUCUAUAAUUCUGUGUACUAAAUUAUGCAGUCAUGUUUGACAGAACUUGAAUGACCAAUUUACUUCCCAUCCCUUUUUGCUUAUCUCUCUCUCUCUCUUUCUGCUUCUACUUACCAUUUUUUCGUAAUCGGAAUACCUCUAGUUAAACCAAUUUUAUGUGUAAAAACUAUUGAUUUAUUUUUACUAAAUAAAAAAGGUGGCUCUUGUAAUGUCUGAAAUCAUAGUUGAGCUUUUGGACUUGCGUCAAGUGAUAUGAUUUGGGAUUAUGUAAAACAGUUUUGAUUUUUAUCUCUUAUUCUUUGCAAGUUGACAGGGACCUCUUUUUUUUUNNNNNNNNNNNNNNNNNNNNNNNNNNNNNNNNNNNNNNNNNNNNNGGGGGGUGGGGGGGGUCCGCUCGACAAAGAUGGCUAAUACCCUUAUUUUGUCAUCUUCUUAUGGGGACCUAAGGUGAAGCUUUAUGGAACCAUUUGAAAAGUUUCAGUUGCUCUACCCGCAAAAAAAGGUGGAAGAUGUUCGUUAAGUACUAUACUGAGAUCAGCGUAGUCAAAGGCACGCUUAAAGCGCACUUAAGCCCUGAAGCAACCCGUUGCACCUUUUUUUAUUAAACCACAUUUUAUUGCGCUUAAAGGCCCAACUUACCUUAUGAACUUUUGUGCGCAUUUUGCUUUUGAUUACACUUGUAAGAGAUGUUGACACAUUCAGCUGUGUGGAUGCUUCCGAGCUUUAUUUGCUUCCAACCUCCAUGUGAUUGCUUCCGCAGCUUGGUUGAGAACAUAAAAAAUUGUUUACUAUUGAUGUGUAGUUAUGUAUUAGCCCUAGAUGGAGUGUAGCAAUGUUUGGAGUCUACCAAGUUUUUCGCCUGUGAGUUUAUUAGCUGACACUGAAUCACAUGUGUGAAUUAAGACGUAAAUUGAGAAUAUUUGACAUGCUUAAUGGUUGAUCACCCGGUCUUAGGUAAAUGAUUUGUUUGUAAAUGUAAAUUACUUGUUGAAUAACUUGCUUUUAAUCAUCUGAAUUUUGCUGUGCGUUAUAUUUCAGGGCUACGACAUUAGUUUUCUCAUCACAAAUUAUCAUUGUGAAGACAUGCAGAAGCAGAAGCUUAUUGAUUUCAUCGUGCAAUUCAUGGAGGUACAAUUAUUAACCCCCCAUCCCCACCCCUUUAGGACCAAGGACGACGUAACAGUGAAACGUCUGGAUCCGUCGCUUAUGAAACUGUUUGAAAUUUCAACGAGUUGUAUGAGUCUCUAGAUGCCAUGAAAAAAGAAAAUGAAAUUGGACCAAAGCUUUUCUUCAGAUGAAAAGGAUUGGUGAAAGUUAGUAAAAAUGCUUUGCUAAAGGUAAUCUACCUCUAUUAUUAGUUGAUAGGGAGUGUCUUUCGUAUGACCUAUAGGUCACGGGUUUGAGCAGUGGAUUCAACCACUAAUGCUUGCGUUAGGGUAGGCUGCCUAGAUUACACCCCCUGGGGUGUUUGGCCCUUUCCCGAACUCUACGUGAACACAAAUGCUUUGUGCACGGGGCUUCCGUUUGUCUAUUCGUUUUUGCUUAACUCGGGGGGUUGGGUGGAGAGCAGGUGUGGUGGUUAGUGGUCUGUCAUUGGAACGAUGAAAACAAACAACAACUUACUUAAUAUAGUCCACAAAUGGGGUCUGCGGAGGGUGAGGUGUAUGCAGACCUUAGCCCUACGUUUAUGAGGUAGAGAGGUUGUUUCCGAUUUGGAAUGAUGAAAAUAUGGCAUAAGAACGUGGAAAAGGUUUAAAAAAAACAAAUUUGCUGUACGUCGUGUUUGAGUAAUUAAACCAAUGAGCUGAGUAUCACAUAAGUGAUGUGCAGUAGUCGAUAGCACAAAAUCCAGUAAAGAUGGAUCGAUGUACUUCAUAUACUUCAAUCGACAAUCUAGCUUGAAAAUCUGAACCAUUCCGCUUCUUUUAUGAAAUUGCAGGACAUCGAUAAGGAGAUCAGCGAACUGAAACUGUCAGUGAAUACGCGAGGGAGGCUUGUCGCUACAGAGUUUCUAAAGCAAUUCAUCUGAUGCUUCCUUUUCGUCGUAACUAGAAUAUAUAUUCAUUUUUAUUCCUCUGCUUGAAGCUAUAUAUUACAGAAAUUUUCUUAUUGUUAUUGCAUCAAUGAGAUCUCCCGUUUUCUUCACUUAUGUAAGUUUUUCAAUUACAUUAUAUUAAGACCUUGUAGUCCUAAGGUUAACCUUUGGUUAUGAUGUAUAAAGACUUUCAGUUGAUAUUUGAAUUUGUUGAUUUCUUGGAAACAGUCUCCGGUAGAAAUGCAAGGCAAGACUGCGUACAAUACACCCUUGUGGUGGGGGCCCCUCCCCGGACCCUGCGCAUAUCGGGAGCUUUAGUGCAUCGGACUGUCUUUUUUUUCUUUUGUAUGAUACCAAAGUACCAAGUCUCUGAUAUGUUGUUAUUUCAGCAUUAGGUUUGCAUAAUGUGGCCUAAUAGUCAACGAAGUGAGACGAAAAAGUUCUUAUUAUUUGUUCAAGUCCCGGUGGAUGGAGUUACUCGAUACUCGUGUUGAGAGGAGGUAGCAAGUGGACCAUUGAAUUAGUUCAGGUGUACGCGAGUUGGUCGAGAAACUAUCAUACAACAACAUACCCUGCGUAUUCCCAAAAAGUGGGGUCUGGGGAGGAUAAAGUGUACGCAAGCCAUUGAUACGGGUACGACCACAAGGAUGCAUGUUUGUGAGAUGUAUUGAACCCGAGACUUGGAGUGUGAAAGUGAAGUGCAAAUGAGGACUUAAAAAGGAUCCAAAACCGUCCAUAUAAUGCUCUCCAAGGGCACCCACUUGAAGACUUGAGACUAAGGGGUUAUUUUGGACAUUUCACACCUUGUUUGUAAACUACUAUAUAAGGAACCUUUUAAGUCAUUUGUUAGGAGACUUUUGCUGAAUAUGGAUGUUGUGUAACACUUAGAAACAUUUCCUCUCUAAGGAGAGAAGACCAAAAAUCUGAAACUUGUAACUAGGGAAAUCAACUUGAGUGUGGAAUCACUCGUGUUGGAUUCAAGCUUGGAAAUGUUGGAUGCUUGGGAGAUCGAGGUCACUCUUGUACCAACGUAAGAGAUAGGUUUGUGUUGUGUGUAGUAUUAAAGGUUCAAGAAUGUAACAAGUCUUGAAUUGUUAAUAUUAUUCCUUCAUUUGGUCUAUCUACCUAUCUUUAUCUUAUUGCACUUUGUAGAUUCAUAGUGGACUGUUUUUGUGUCUUUUUGAAUCCGAAUUUUGUAACCAUUGUGUUCAUCUUGCUCAUCUUAUAUUGUGGCUGUUUUGGUGUUGAAAAACACACCUCUUUAUCUUGUUAUUGUGUUGUUGAUAGCGAAUCCGAGAGUGAUCUUCAAAAGGGUCCUCAAAUCCUUAAGAUUAGUGGACUGUUUUGGAGAUGUUUUGUGUUUCUCUUCUUUUUUCCGUAUCAGCCAUACCACUACGUCAGAUGAAGUAGAGAAGUUGUUUCCGAUAGACUCUUAGCUCGGGAUAAAUAACAAUAUAAAAAACCAAAAAAAACAUAAAAGCAACAACAAAAAGGAAUAUCACAAAGCUAGAUAAUAAAGGAAACAUGACACCCGCAAAGUAAUAUUAUAAACUAGUUAUUCAAAGUCAUAGACAUCACCAAACCAUCACGAACAAGAGACUACAAGAAACUACAUAAACAGAUAGAAUCAGACGACCUGAUACUUGAUAGUCAAACGAAGUGAGACAAUUUUUUUUUAUUUGCUCAAGUAUCGAUAGUUAGAGUUACUCGAUACUCGUGUUGUGAGGAGGUAGCAAGUGCACCAUUGAAUUAGUCUAGGUAUACACGAGUGGUGAAGUCUUGAACCACGUCAUUAUCCUUUCAGAUUAUAAUCAACUAGUGAAUAUGUCCGUACUUUGCACGGUUAUUAAAAAAAUUAAAUUAUAUCUAAAUAAUAUUACAAUUUUCAUAAUAAAAAUAUCUUUAUUUUGAUUAACUUUACUUUUAUAUUUUCCAACCGUAAUCCUAAUUGCUUCUUAAGGUAAUUAUACAUCAAAAUGUUAAUUGUUCUUUUAUUAUAUACGACUUUUGCUGUGUUCAGAUAUUGCUUUCAAAAGAAUUUCAUUCAAUUUUUUUAAAAAUAUACAUGACCGACCUGACAAAGACAUUACACACAUGGAUUAAGUUUCUUAUUGACUUACUAUAUAUCCAUAAAAAUCGAAAUAAUUCAUGGCAUGAUUAAUAUGCAUUAAAUCACCUUAGAAACAGAAGAAUCAAUACAUGCCAACAACAAGUGUUCAUCAAACGUAGGCAGAUAAAGUAAUUGAAUGUCCAACAUCAUGCUUCCAGAAUAAAUCACCGUUUUCUUAAAAAUACUAUAAUUUAGCUAAUGGAGCAACUUUUAAAAAAAAUUACUUCUCAUAAGACUUUUUAUUACAUAAAGUGAUGAGUAUCAUAUACUUUUUUCUCUUCAUGAUAAAAGUUGAUCGAUAAUCAAUUAAACAAUCUAAUCGGGAAUACUACAGCUUGUGAACAUUCUCUCUCUCUGUUGAUCUUAAACUUUCUACUUUUAAAUCGACUAAUCAAAAUCUAUCGAAACGCUUCAGGACUAGAACCAAAGAUCCUAUGAACACAAAAAUCAUAUUUCAAAGCCAACGAAACUUUAAAAUUUUCAUUUCAACCUUGAUAUCACUAAAUACUGACUUUGGUCAAUCACAUUGGAUUUCAAGUCUUUAAAAAUAAAAAAAAAAUUGCUUAAUUCUCAUCCAGUCACCUGAAAAUCAUGUCCCACACCUGCAGACAUAAAACAAUUAUGGAAAUGGGACAAAAUAAUCUAAAUGCAAAGAAAAAGAAAAAUUACAACAAGGGUUAUUAGCACUCUCUUUGUUGUAAAAUGAUCGUCAUUUUUCGCUUUUUUGAUAAUCAAUUUAAAUAAUUUUCAAGUUAAAUUACAUUAGAUUAGUUUGAUUUAAUAGUAAAAUUAAAAAUAUUUUUUAAAAAAAACAUACAAAGAAUAUUAUAAACUAUAGUACGUAAUUAUUUUCAUUAAUAUGAUUAAAAAGACAUAACAUAUCAGGGGUGACUCAAAGAUAAAGCUAGUAAAGCAAUUGCUUUAGACCCCCAAAGUUUGGGAGCCUCAAAAAUUUUAAUAAUAAACUCUGUGAUUUCAACUUCACUUGAAAUAAUAAUGAAAUUAUGAAAUACAUUUUUAAAAAUUAUCUAAAACUAAUUUAAAAAAAAAAAAAGAAAGAGAAAAAAGUUCUCAUUUUUACAAAAAAUAUUUUAAAACUUUAAACCAAACAACUAAAACUUUAUAUUAAUAAAUAAAAUUUUAACAACAACAUAACAUCUUAUUAACUAAAAUUAAUAUUUACUUUUAUUAAUAAACAUACAUAUUAAUAUGUGAAAUUAAAGGUUAUAUAUCAUUUAAAAAUAUUAUAUCAAAUAAUAUUUUUGUACGUAUAUCUAUAUAUUAUUAAUUUUAUUGAGAGGUAUCAUGGCUUACUACCUUAACGAGGGAAUAGUAGAGUAUUGUUGUAUCUUUGGUUGGGUGCUUGUACAUUUCUCCUCCUCCAUCCUCAUGAACAAAAGGCUUUCCAAAUUGAGAUUUACCUCCAUACAAGAAUCCUAAAUCCACAACUGGACCAUUUCGUUUUGUUUGAUACAAAUGGCGGAUGUUGGUGCACAAUCUCAGCUGAUCCCUAAUCUCCCAGACGACAUAGCCUUACAGUGUCUAGCAAGAAUCCCCCGUUCCCAUCACCCUACACUGUCUCUCGUCUCCAAAUCUUGGCGGUCCACCUUAACUUCUUCCCCUACACUCUACAACACCCGAUCACUCAUCCGUACUACCGAAACUUUCCUCUACUUAAGCCUCCGUAUUAACUCCACUUUCCACUGGUACACUCUCGUCUCCCACAAAUUGUUGUUUCCAGUUUGUUCAAUGCCCGUUAAGCCGAUUGGACCGGCUUUUGCUGUAUUGGGAUCCAAGAUAUAUGUGAUUGGUGGAUCUAUUGGUGAAAUACCGUCGAAUAAUGUGUGGGUUUUUGAUUGUAGGUUUAAUUGUUGGGAAAUGGGACCGAGGAUGAGGAUUGGUAGAGAGUUUGCUGCGGCUGGUGUUGUGAAUGGGAAGAUUUAUGUGAUGGGUGGGUGUGUGGUUGAUAAUUGGGCGAAGUCGAUGAAUUGGGCUGAGGUUUUUGAUCCCGCAACGGGGUUAUGGACUGCGUUACCGAGUCCGAUUGAAGUUAGGGAUAAGUGGAUGCAUGCUACUGCGGUUGUGGGGGCCAGGGUUUAUGCGAUGACGGAUAGGGGAGUAGUGGUGUAUGAUGUUGAAGGGUGUCAAUGGGGGACUGUGUCGAAAAGGCUUGAUUUGGGUUGGAGAGGACGGGCUGUGGUGGUGGGAGGGGUGCUGUAUUGUUACGAUUAUUUGGGUAAGAUUAUAGGGUAUGAUGUGAAGGAAGAUGUAUGGAAAGAGUUGAGAGGGGUGGAUAAGUGGUUGCCAAAGUUUUUUUGUGGUGCUACGAUGGUGAAUUUCGAUGAUAGGUUAUGUGUUGUGUGGGAAGGAAAAGGGAGCGGCAAGGAAGUUGAUAUUAUGUGUGCGGAGAUUCAAGUGCAGAGGGAUGAGGAUGGAGGGUUGAGUGGGAACAUUUUGUGGUCGGAUAUGAUUCUUGUUGUUCCUAAUGGUGCCUCAAUUGUGCAAUGCUUGGCAGUUGAUUUGUGAUGAUUACUAUAAAUAAGGUGCGGUUAUUGUCAAGCUUUCGUUAAGCAUUUUAUUGAAUUAAUAAUCUGACUGUUUGUUGUUGUCGCUUCAUUAUUUCCUUUAGCUUUUUCAGUAUUUGGUGCUUUUUAAAGUUAUUGCUUGAAUUUGACUUGGGCCAGGUAUACUUGUCAUUGUUAAUUCACAAUGUUGUGAAUAAUUGGGUGUAUUGUUUAUCCUGUGGCAUUUUCUAUACGUGUAUUCAGUUUGAAAAUAAUAUAUAUUUGAUGGCGUCCACAAUUCAUUUACUAUAUGUAGUAUGUGGACUGUGGCUGUCUAAUGUGUUAGAUGUGGUUAUGGUGUUGGUAGCAAAAGUAGGGGGAAUUUCUUGAAUGGAUAGUGGAUUGAAAAUAACUGGAUUUGUGAAUCGAUCCUUCCCCUAGAAAUCCACAACACUUCUGUAGUUGUUUUAUAGGGCUUACUUUUCACUUUGGUAGGCAUCCUUGUAUCACAUAACAUCCCGAGAACUUCUCUAUUUCAAUCCUAUGUAUAACAUCUUCAUAUCAUUCCAAUCUCUUGAAACAACAAGUCUAAAAUUUGAAUUGUUUGCAUUUGACAUCUCACCUCAACUUCAGUCUUCUCAUACAGACUAAAAUUGCAGUGCAUGUAUUGAGUCCUACUUCUAGUUCUACUUAUUCUAAAAUCCUUACACCACUCUAAGGUGAUUCUCCAUAGUGCAAAUUUUUGUUUGACACUCACUCGUUUCGUCUUUUUAUUCACUCUGCCUUUCUAUUUUCAAUCCACUACUUUUGGCUUUAAACUUCAUUUUGUCCUUGCCUGCCUUUAUUCACUCAUUUCGUCAAAAACUUAGUAUUGUUUAGGUUUAUAUUAAAAUACGUUACUUAUCUACUAAUAAUGUCGAAGUCAUUAAAAUAGAUGUUAAUCUCAUACUAAACGGGAAAACAAACUUCGAAGGAGAUUCCGGAACAACUUUUUUUUAUUUAUAAUUGUGGUGUCCGCGCCAGCUUGUGUGCAGCUUGACUAAUUCCACGAGAUAUCUGUCAUCUCCCACCAUCAACAAGUAUCAGGUAACUCUGUCCACCAAGGCAAGAACAGAUAGGAAGAAAUCACCUAGUGUUUGUCUCUGUUGGGAAUUGAACGUGAGACCUCAUGGUGCUCAACUCAACUUCACUGAACCACUAUGCCACACCCUUGGGUGCAUUCCAUAACAAUUUAUAAAUAUUAAAUAAUUAGCAAAGAUCUUUUUUUUUUUUCUGUUUUUACUAGACAUAAUCUCAGAGUUAGGUACUCAAAACGCUUAUAUAUGCUCCACUUGAUUGCUUUCUCACAAGUAUUAGCUUUAUGUUUUUAGCUUUAAGGAACACGUAUAAUGGUUAGAUGUAUGCGUUAAGUAUUUUUAUGGGGUUGACUUAGAGUCCAUUUGAAUUGGCUUAAUUUAGGUGUUUUUAAGCUAAAAUAAUUUUUAAGCACUUUUGUAGUGUUUGGGUAAAAUUUAAAGGUGCUUUUAACCACUUCUUUUUAAGCCAAAAUAACAAAAAUAAGCCAGAAGCCAUAAGUUAGAAAUCAUAACUUACGGCUUCAUAAAGUAUUACUCCCCUCUCACGUGGUCACCUUUUUUUUUGUAUGUCCUGAAAAAAAUGUUUUAUGGCUUGUUUAAACAAUACGUUUCAAAAGUAAUUUCAGGAUUUAUUCAUCUUAAUAUAUUAUUUCAUAAUGCUCAUUUAUAAUUUACGCUUAGUUUAGUACUCACUUCCGUUUCAAUUUGUUUGUCAUACGUUCUUUUUUAGUUUAUUUUAAAAAGAAUGUCACUUUCCUUUUUUAGGCAACUCUUUAAUUUAUACUUUCCACAUGACAUGUUUAAUACUACAAGAUUGCAGGACAUUUUGUUACAUUGUAUAUAUCUAUAUCUUUAGUUUAAGACCACAAGAUUCAAAAGAUUGAAAUGGUGGGAGUAAUGUAUAAACUUUUAAGAAAAUUCAUUGAUCCAUGUCCCAUCUAAUUCUUUUACAAUAUAAUGGAUGAGGAAUGCGAUUCUUGAAUUUACUGUUGCUGAUUGAUUUGAUUUUGAGUUUCAAAUAUCUUAACAAUUCUGCUGAGGUUUUAAACAAACCUAGCUUGUCUGCUCGUCAGGAUUCCAGCCAGAGACUCAAAUGCAUUUCUCUCAACUUCACAGUUUGUAACGACAAUAUGUUGAAUAUUGUGGACUUCCUAGCACCAAGAUCCAUUCAUUUCCCUACUGACAAAACAAUGCAUUCGGUCAGACAUGUUUGAAAUACUCAGUUGUCUUCGAACAACUACUAGCAGACCUCGUUGGCUGUAUGAUUCUUCACUGUCCAAAAAUAGUCUCUUGUGUUCAAAAUGGGAAAAUACUACUACAGAAUCUCAGUGUACAAAAUCUCCUGCAUCAUUAUGUCAAGGAACAAAACUUUUUAAAAGCAGGAUUGCCUCGGAUUAAUGCAGACACUUCACAGGUUUGCUUUGGUAGUUUCACUUUGACAUUGUAAUUCUGACAUGGAGUUUUUCAUUGCUUACAUGCAUAUUUUCUUGUGAGAUAAAUGAAACAAUCUCUGGCAAAAAUGCAAUGCAAGGCCUUUCCUUUGGUCAAGUCCUUUCCCGGAUCCUAUGCAUGGAAAGAGCUUUGAUACAUCGGACUGCUCUUUUACUUAUUUGCUUUAUCAUCCUAAACUAGGGCAUUAAACAGCUAUAUCACUAGGACACUUAAAAAAUACCCACGGUUGAAUGUGUGUUGGAUCUUUCAAAAAUGCAUAGCUUUUAUAAUUUGGUACGCCAAUUACACCUUGCCCUUUCCCAAUAUUCUUAUCAUGUGGUUUUUAUUGUUGUCUAGAAAUGAAAUAGCUUCCAAGUAUUCUUGUUUCGUCAGAUAAAUAAUAAUAUUAAAGCAGUACUAAGUAGCAUAACUCAAUUCUAUUUUAGUUCAGAUUUAGAACAAUACAAAAUAAACCACAAUUUUUAGUUGGUGAAAUCGAUUUGUUUGGAUAGUAUCCCAUCAUCAGUCAACGGUAAUGUUGCUAAUUCAAACAAAAGAAAUAAAGUUUUAAAACAGCUAUCUGCAGAUCUAAAUAAAGGGGCUGUACCACCACAAGGGUGUAUCGUACGUAGCUUUACCUUGCAUUUCUGUCAGAGGCUGUUUUGAACCGGUGACCUCCUGGUCACGUGGCAGCAACUUUACCAGUUACACUUGCACACGAUUGGUGGUGCUUUAACAAGUUGUCAAUUUGUAUAAGAACCUGCACACAUGCAUGCAUACAAUGGAUGUAGUUUAGCGACAAGUAUUAUUGAAUUUGGCUGACGCUUGAGAUGUAUUUGUAUAAUAAGCCAAGAGCCAAAAGAUGGAAGGUAAUUUCAGUAGGUGUAAUAUUGCAGACAUCUUUCUCCCUUUUCACUGCAAUAUCUACAAAAAGGAAACAGGUAUUAUACUAUAUAAUUCAGCCAGCAUACAAUACAGGCCAAUGCAUUGGCAUAAUGUUCACCCCUCUUGUCCAUUAAAGUAGUUAGCCGCUUCAAAGACAAAAGACGUAUCAACAGGAAGAACAUACAAAUCAAAACAGGAAAUGCCGACCGCGUCUCCUCCUGAUUCUUCAUGUAAAAGGGGACGAGAUUUAGUUCCUUGUGCAAUAAGCCGAUGCAUCAAAGAUAGCUUCUGCAAUACCUCCGUCUAAAUACAACAUACAGAACGAAAAAUCAUUUAAUAUCAAGAAUUAAAUGGAAAGAAACACAAUCAAACAAAUGGCAAGAAGCUAGCUACUACUAUAUAUGCAAGUUUAAUUCAACCUGACAUGUCAAAGAUGGAAACUAAAGUUCAAUCUGGUUAAAUUUUCACUUCAAAUUCCUUCCUUAUUCAAAACUAAAUAUAUAGCAAUUUAUUUCAUUUAUUAGCUUUUUGUUCAGUUUAAUUUUUAAUCAAAUUACAAGGAAAUUAAAAAUUGAAAUGUGAAACUAUUAAAUAAAUUACAGGAUUAUAGUGUUGAUGAAAGAAGAAAAUGAGAAAAAAAAACGUGAGUUGGAGAAUUGAUAUUAUAUAGUGGGUCCCACAAUUUACUUUAAAUUUUGCUCAAAAUUGUGUGUUCUCUCUCUCUUCUUUUUGGCAGUUGAAAUUGACAAUUAGUCCACAGUCCAUGUGUCAAAAAGCAUAGUGAACGGUGUUGAUCGUAGUAUCUUGAGAUUGUGGUGAUAAAAUAUUAAAAAGUGUCUGUUAUAUUUGUUAAUUAAUAAUUACUUAAAUUUAGUGAUUAUAAUAUUUUAAUAUUUAAUAUUGAUAUUAUUUUUUGUGCUUAAAUUAUUUCUUAUAAAUUAUUGAGUUGAUAGAGACACUGAUAUACUAGUUAACAAUUAAUAAUAUUUUCUAAAAAAAAUAUUUUUUCACUCACCAAUCAAACACUAGAAAAUAUUUUUCUAAAAAAUAAUCUCUAUCCACCAAUCAAAUACCAUAAAAUAUUUUUUACUCACCGAUCAAAUAUGAGAAUAUAAAUAGAAAACCAACUUAUUUUCUAGGAAUAUUUUUGCAUAGAAAAUAUUUUCCAAUCAUAUCAAACUGUAUCUCACACAAAUUAAAAUUUUUCUGUUAUCAUUGCUGUCACCAUAUAUUAGACCUCAUAUUUGAACUCCUAUCAGUUAUUUAAUGCUAAAAAAAGGACACUUUUUAAUAUUUGUACAAAUACUAAUUAGACAAAUACUAGUCUACUGUACGUGCAAAAGCACGUAUAUAUUGUGCUAAUUAAUAUUUUCUCCAUUCUAAAUUAUUUGAUUUAAAUUUUUUAAUUUAUUAUUUUAUUUUACUUAUCUUUUUCAUUAAUUAAAAAGAGAUAAAUUUUUUUUCUUGUUUUAUCCUUUGCAUUAAUUACUUUUUCUAUAAAAUUAAAAUAUAAACAUUAUUUAAUAGGAAUACUAUGAUAAACUAAGUAUGUUAUUAAUUAUUUUUAUUAAUCAACGUGUUAUUUAAAUUUGGGACGAAUGAUUUGAGACGAAGGAAGUAUAAAAUGAUAAAAACAACAUCUUAUUUAGAAAAAGCUAUUAACAUUACACGAAAUUCUAUAUUUGUUUAAAUAAUGAGAAUGAAUGUUAUUAUAUUGGUAAAGGUUGAAUUAUUUUUUGAAUGCUUAACUAUGAUGAAUUUAUGUCUACCUUAAGGGGAACGUUUUAUGUCCCUUCUUUGUGAAGUCUUUUCAUCGAUUAACAUUAUACUUUGAGAUUUGAUGCCUCUAUAAUAUGUCACAAUAAAUUAAAUGACUAAAGAACAAGAGUAAUUUCACACGCAAAAAAAGAGAAAAGAAAAUAUAUAAACAUGGAUAUGUUUGUAUAGACAUAGAGAGCAGAAUUUGAAAUCUGCAGGUCCCUACAACAAUCUCAAAUUAAUAUAAUGAUAAUUCAUUAUCACACUAACAAUUAAAGAGUGAAUUAAAUUAGUGAAUAAAAUUUCAUUAUUGAUAUCAAAACUCAAAAUUAUAUUAAUGGACAAAAACCAAUUCUAAAUAAUAAAGCUACAUUAUAUAGGAGCGUAAUAAUAUAACACAACUACUUAUAAUAAAUUAAUAAUAACAAAAAUAAUUAAUUAUAAUAAAGUAGAACAAGAAUUAAUAUCAAUGGCGAAAGAAAAAUAAUAAAGCAGAAGAACAAACAUUGAUUGCGAAGGAAAAAAAAAUACAUUUAUAUGACAUUAAAAAUAGAAAGAUCCGCACCUUUGGGUGUGGUUGAGUUGGUUUUAGGGGUGAUUUCCAAAGUGGAGGUCGCGGUAUCGAUCCCCUAAUGCUUUCUCAAUCUAACUCGUCACACGGAGUUUACCUUAUGCGAUUUACAUUUCCCGUGUGAUUUACGAACGAUUGCACAGUGAGGAAUUUACCCAAAAUGUUCAUCAGAAAGCAGAGGUUGUGACAGAGGUUAUAAUGCGCACAAAAUGCUCACUCAAAAAUAGAGAUUGUGACAAAAAUUGUAACGACUCUAGAUUUUUCUAGAGUUUUCAAAAACAAAAUAGAAAGAUCCUAUUCAUUCAAUCAUGACAUUUAUAUGACACGUUUCUCUAUCAAUAUCUUUGACAGCUUCUACCUGUCCCUGUGUCUGAUGAAAGGUCAGGGGAAAUAAUGUCUAUAUGUAUGUACAAAAAUUAAAUACAUGGGGUUUAAGUUGCUUUCAAAAAUAUAAAGUCUAGCACUUUCUUUUCUUUGUGUAGUGUUAGUGAGAGUUGUAUAAUAUUAAUAAAGUGUUUCUUUGAUUUCUUAUUCGGUAUUUGAUAUCUAUGUUAGAAUUUCGAUUAAUUUGAAUUAUGUAUUUUAAGAUUCAUUCUGAGGAUAGUACUCAUAAUGAAAUUUUCUCCAUACUCAGAACUCGAAUCCCAAAUAAAAAGUGGGAAUGAUAUGAAAAGAAUCUUUAUUUUGUUGUAAAAAUAAUUACUAAUGAUAUGAGAGUAGCAUGUUGGUUACCAAUACAUAUUUGUCUAAUAAUGCCGACAAUAUUCACAACCUAUUUAUUGACCCACCUAUUUUAUUGCUUGUGCAAAUAUUAAAAAGUGUCCCUUUUUAGCAAUAAAUAAAUGAUAAAAGAGUUAAAAUAUGAGGUCCAAUAUAUGGUAAUAGCAAUGAUAACAGACUACUACAACAUAUAUAUAUAUAUAUAUAUAUAUAUUUGGAUGUCAUUUGUAGUGGCACACUAACAAUUAUUUUAUGAUUUGUAUUUUUGUUUUUGGCUCUCUCUCUAUAUAGCCACAAUCAAUGAAAGAUAUAUAUAAAAAAAUUCUGCAUUCUUCUUUUACGUAUUACUCCUUGCUAUUCUGUUAUUUUAAUAUAUAAUUUCACAUCACGUUAUCAGCAUGAGCCUCUAUAAAAUCAUUUUGAAGGUAUUUAAAGAUUAGUAUUUUAUUUUCUCAAAUAAUAGCUAAUAUUUUCAAAUGCGAUUUUAAUGCCCUAGACAUAUCUGGCGAAACUUAUAUGUCUUGGACACUAGAUGUAGAAAUACAUUUAAAUGUAAUGGGUCUGGCAGGCACCAUUAAAAAUAAUAAUAAGGCAUCAGAUCAAGAUAAGGCCAAGACCAUGAUAUUUCUUUAUCAUCAUCUUGACAAAGGGCUAAAAAUGGAGUACCUCACGAUCAAAGAUCCCCUUACAUUGUGGAACAAUUUAAAGGAAAGAUAUGAUCACCUGAAGAUGGUCAUACUCCCAUAGGCUCGUAAUGAAUGAACCUAUUUGAGGUUCCAGGACUUUAAAAAUGUAACUGAAUAUAAUUCUGCGAUGUUUAAAAUUAAAUUGCAGUAUGACUUAUGUGGAGAAAAUAUCACAGAUCACGACAUGAUAGAAAAAACACUUUCUACUUUUCACUCCUCGAGUAUGGUCCUGUAGCAGCAGUACCGAGAAAUGAAUUUCAAAAAAUAUUCUGAAUUAAUUGGCCAUCUUCUUGUUGCUGAACAACAUAAUGACCUUUUAAUAAAAAAUAAUGAAACUCGGCCUCCGGGUACUGCUCCAUUCCCAGAAGUGAAUGCUGCAAAUUUUCACCCAACUUGGCGUGAAAGAAAUCCUGACCUCAGUCAUGGUCGAGGUUGAGGUCGUGGUAGUGACAGGUAUUUCAAUCAGGGUAAUCAUCUUGCAAUAAACAAUAACCCUCAGCAUCAGCUGUGCAAAAAGAGGGGUGAAGCUCCUGAAUUAGCACCAAGGACGAACCCUGAAAAUAUAUGUUAUCGAUGUGGAGGAAAGGGGAACUGGGAGUGUGCCUGUCGUACGCCUAAGCAUCUGGUAAAACUAUAUCGGUAUCCAUUAAAAGGCCAGAAAAUGAUGUUGAAACAAACUUCCUCCUAGAAGAUAACAUUGAGCCCAUGGACUUGGACAUUUCAGAUUUCGUUAAUGUUCCUGAAGAACAAGUAAAUCACCCUGUAGGUGAUAAUAAUGAUAUAAUCCGAUUAUGUUAAUUUUCUGUUAAGUUUGUAUUAGUUUAUUUUCUUUUGUUUGUUUAAGUUAAAAUUAAUUUACAUUUCUAUUAUUAAUAUUUUAAUAAUCUUAUAAAUUUAUAUAAUAUAUUAUGUGCUAGUGCCAUAGUAUAGUAUUAUGAUCACUAAGUAAUUUUGAUUUUGUAGUACGCACAUGAAGCUUUAACAAUGUGAGCUAUUUAUAUAAUGUUAUACUACAUAAAUUAUGCUAACGUUAUGACUAGAAUUAUUUAUUACAGUAAUGAAUAUUCAUAGAAGACAUAUUAUGAAAUUAACAUGAGUAUAUAGCCAAUAGAUCAUGUUAUUACAUACAAUAUUAAAUAUGUGUACUUUAGAUGCAUAUGGUUAGUAAUAGCAAAACUAUUAUGUAAUAGAGAUGUUAAUUGUUUAGAACACAGCUGCAAUUAAAAUAUGGAUAUAAAAUAAAAUAAUGUGUAAAUGCAUGAUAUUAUGUGCUAGUUAUAUUAUAAUAUUUGUGUUGUUUAUAUUUUUAUUUUGAAGAAAAUAUGGAUACUCCUCAAGUCUUAUUUGGAUCAAUAAUCGAUCAUGACGAUAUUUGUGUAAUUGAUAGUGGGACAACACACGCAAUAUUUAAAGAUGAAAAAUACUUUUCCCACUUACUCAAAAGAAAAGCAAAUGUUACAACAAUUGCUGGUAAUUCAAAAUUGAUCGAAGGCUCCGAAAGAGCUACUAUAUUUCUGCCUAAGGGACAAAAUUAGUUAUAGAAGAUGCACUGUUCUCUUCUAAAUCCCCAAGAAACUUAUUGAGUUUUAAAGAUAUUCGUAGAAAUGGAUAUCAUGUUGAGACAAUAAAUGAAAUGAAUGUUGAAUAUCUUGGCAUUACCAAGAAUUUCUCAGGUAAAAAACAAAUAUUGGAGAAAUUACCAGCUUUGUCUUCUGGUUUAUGUUAUGCCGAAAUUAGUACAAUUGAAGCACACUCUAUCAUAAACCAGAAGUUUACGGAUAUAAAUACAUUUGUGCUCUGGCAUGAUCGAAUAGGUCAUCCUGGCUCAAUAAUGAUGAGACAAAUCAUUGAAAAUUCAAAAGGGCAUCCGUUGAAGAACCUGAAGAUUCUUACACCGGAUGAAUUUUCAUGUGCUGCUUGUUAUCAAGUCAAACUGAUAACUAGGCCAUCGCCAAUGAAAGUUAGCGUUGAAUCCUCUCAGUUUAUGGAACGUAUACAUGGGGAUAUAUGUGGGCCUAUUCACCCACUUAGAGAGACAUUUAGAUAUUUUAUGGUCCUAAUAGACGCAUCUUCAAGAUGAUCACAUGUAUGCCUCUUGUCAUCUCGCAACCUGGCGUUUGCGAAAUUAUUGGCACAAAUAAUACGAUUAAGGGCACAAUUUUUACAUUAUCCUAUUAAGGCUAUUCGUCUAGAUAAUGCUGGAGAAUUUACAUCCCAAGCUUUUGAUGAUUAUUGUAUGUCAGUUGGGAUAAAAGUUGAACAUCUUGUUUGAUACAAGUGCGAUCACGUAGAUGAACUUAUGAGGAUGUGUAUUGAAUUCGUCCAUGUGUGUGUGCAAGAGAAGUGAAAUUAAGGGCUUAAAAUAUAUCAAAACAACCACUAAUUCAUACUAGAGGGACACCUAAUCUCUAAGGGGCAUUUUGGACUUUUUACCUUCUAUUUGUAAUACACUGUAUAGGAAAUAUUUUAGGGCUACUUUACUUAGUUUUUUGAUAUUGAAGAUUGUAUAACACACUUGAAAAACACAAGUUCUCUCUUUCGUAGAGACUUGGCUGAAACUAGGAAACAACUUAGGUGUGAAAUCAUUUUUGUUGUUUGUUUGCUUGGAUCGUUGGGUGCUAGACGGAUUGAGGUCCUCUCUUGUGUCCACCACAUAGUGUAGGUGUUUUUACUAUCUUUAUCAAGGGUCUUUGUGCUUGAAUACACUUAGGUUUUUGGUCUUUGUAGUAGUGUAUGUCACACUCUCUAUCAUUUUCUUUGUUGUAAUCUUGUAGUCGUGUGGUGUAUUGUUUCUCUUGUAACCCGUGUGUUGUUAUUAUUACAUUGUUGUUGUCCAUCUUGUUCUUCAUAAAUUGUUGUUAAUAUUAGUUUGGGUCUCUGAUUUGGUGUCAAAUACACCACGAAAUCUUGUAUUCUUGUUGUUGGUAGCGAAUUCGAGAGUGGUUAUCAAAAAGGUCCACGGUUCUUUCAACUUGUGGACUGAUUUUGGUGUUGUUUUUGUGUUCCUUAUCGAUCUUGUAUCAUUUGGUAUCAGAGCAAGGUUUGAUUUUGUUCUAACAAAAUCAAUCUUGGGAUUUUUAUCUUGAAAAUAAAAAAAAAAGUGAAAAAGAAGAAAAAAAAGAGAAAAAAGUUACUGUUCAUGUUAUUAGGAUUUUUCAAAAAAACUUGAUUUUUGUGUGUUUCUAGUGUUAGAUCAUUGUUCCCUAACACUAUUGGAAUCUAGAAAUUGAAAAUCCUAACAAAAAAGAAGCGUCAAAAUCAAAAAUCCCCCCAAAAAAAUACUAAACCCGUUUUUGACCCUAGGUCAAAUUUUGAGUUUUUGAUUUUGUGUUUUUCUUGUGUUUUAAGUGUUAGAUUUGUGUUCUAUAACACUAUAGGAGUAUAGGGUUCGAAUUUGAGCUGAAUUGGAGGUAAUUUGAGUCAUCCACCAUUGUUAAGCUUGAGUUUGAAAAAACUUGAAGGGUUAUUUUUGGUACAACCACAAUGGAACCCGAGGCUUCAAAUGCUUAAACAAUGGACAAUAAUGCCAUCAAUCUCAUUUUGGCUCACCAUGAAACUAUGUCCCGAGAUGUGGCUAGGUUGAAUGUGGGUCUUGAGAAAUUAAAUACGGAUGUGACAUUAAUGAGUGGGAUAUUAGAACGUGUGAAAAGUCAAAGGAGUCAACCUUCCACCCCUCAAAAUAUUUCCCCAACCAUUACUCUCAAGGCCUUGCACCAAAUGAACAAGUGAUCGAGCCAACCACCAAAUGUUCCCCAAAACUGUGAGUAAGAUAGAGCAACCCUUCCUCCACUUCACCAAGUCCAUGAUGGAUUUGGAACCCAAAUGCCACCAAACCCGAACCCUUCACUUAUCCAAAGACCUCAUUUUCCAAUCCAAACUCCAUUGAACCAAAGGCCUUACGAUCCUCCAAAUCCGAAUCCACUUAAUUCAAAUCCACCAAACUGUUUUGAGGUUUAUGGUAGGGAGGAACAACAUGGGGGUUAUGGUGAUGCUUACUUGAAGGAAGAAGAAGAGAUGGGUAGGCAAGGUGAUUUAGGCUGAGAAGUGAGGGGUGGUAACCAAACCCGAGAGCUUAGCCUCAAUUCCAUCAAAGUUAGUUUUUUGAUCUUCAAGAGUGAGAGUGAUCCCAAGGCAUAUCUUGCUUGGGAGUCAUCUUGUGAUAGGAUAUUCCAAGUGAAUGAUCUAACCGAAAAGAAGAAGAGUUGUUAUGCAAUCUCUCACUUUGAGAGUUAUGCAAACCAUGUGAAGAGGUUUGGUGAUAUGUUGAUUGCCGGGCGGCCACUUCCAUGGUUUAGAUUGAGGUACCUUAUGCGUAAAAGGUACUUACCCUUGGGCUACAAACAAGAACUUCUUGCCAAGUUGUACAACUUGAGGCAAAGAAACAAAAGUGUCAUGGCAUACUAUGACGAGUUUCAACAAUUGAUAUUAAAGCUUGACCAUAGAAGAGAACAAGUGAGUCAUGAUAUUAUACGAUUCAAAGUCGGGUUGAAUAGGGACAUAGCUUUUCGGAUGACCCUCCACAAGUUUAACACGAUCGAUGGCAUUUUUCAAGCGGCCUUUAAAAUUGAAAGGGAGCUCUCGACCUCUAAAACCAAGAAUCACCAAGGACCUUCCUCAGAGUGGCACCAACAUCAAGAGCAUUCAUCUAAUGCCAACCAAACCGAGAACAAGGUUGUACAAACCGAAACCAAGGGUUCCCAAAAGUAUCCUCCAAGAAACAAAGGUAAACCAAAUUCUACUUCUCGUCCUAAGGGAUUUCAAUAUUUUAAAUGUCAAGGGUGGGGGCACAAGGCUAGUGAGUGCCCAAACCGGAGGAAUGUAAUCCUUAGGAAGGAAAAAUUGUAUUACCUUGGUGAGGAGGUAGGACUUGAAUCGAAUGAGGGUAAUGAAAAAGGUCAAGAUAGAGAGCUUGAGGUCGAGGUGGAAAUUGAUGAAGGUAGGGAAGAUAUUUGGCCGGUGGAUGGAGAGUGUGUUGUGCCUAUGUAUAUGGCAGGGAUAAUCAUGCUUAGUGAGGUUGUAGAAGAAGAAGCCGAGAGUGAGGAGGGUGAAUAAGAGAAGCCGAGAGUUAGGAUUGUGGGGUUUGCCCACAAAGACCCUUUGUUUCCUACUAACCAAGAUGCUAGCACUUUACCUAACAUCCUUUCUUCUUACGUACAGGUUAAAGAACAUUUAAGUCCAAGUAGCAAUCUUGAUGACCUCGUGGAACCCUUGGUUGAACAUCCUAACCUUGGGAGGAACAUUGAAAAGAUGAUUUAAAGAGGAGAGCUUGCGGGUGAUGAUUGCUUGAAUUUGUGGAUAAAUUCCUCUCAAGAUGGAAAGAAUGGUACAAAUGCGAUCACGUAGAUGGACUUAUGAGGAUGUGUAUUGAAUUCGUCUAUGUCUGUGUGCAAGAGAAGUGGAAUUAAGGGCUUAAAAUAUAUCAAAACAGCCAAUAAUUCACACUAGAGGGGCACCUAAUCUCUAAGGGGCAUUUUGGACUUUUUGCCUUCUAUUUGUAAUACACUAAUAAGAAAUAUUUUAGGGUUACUUUACUUAAUUUUUUGAUAUUGAAGAUUGUAUAACUCACUUGAAAAACACAAGUUCUCUCUUCCGUAGAGACUUGGCUGAAACUAGGAAACAACUUAGGUGUGGAAUCACUUUUGUUGUUUGUUUGCUUGGAUCGUUGGGUGCUAGACUCUUGUGUCCACCGCAUAGUGUAGGUGUUUAUACUAUCUUUAUCCAGGGUCUUUGUGCUUGAAUACACUUAGGUUCUUGGUCUUUGUAGUAAUGUAUGUGACACUCUCUAUCAUUUUCUUUGUUGUAGUCUUAUACCCGUGUGGUGUAUUGUUUCUCUUGUAAACCGUGUGUUGUUAUUAUUACAUUAUUGUUGUCCAUCUUGUUCUUCAUAAAUUAUUGUUAAUAUUAUUUUGGGUCUCUGAUUUGGUGUCAAAUACACCAUGAAAUCUUGUAUUCUUAUUGUUGGUAGCGAAUCCGAGAGUGGUCAUCAAAAGGGUCCACGAUUCUUUCAACUUGUGGACUGAUUUUGGUGUUGUUUGUGUGUUCCUUGUCAAUCUUAUAUCAUUGUUGCUCAUGUUCAUACUCAAAAUGGCCUUGCUGAGUCAUUUAUUAAGCGCCUACAAUUGAUAGCAAGACCACUGCUUAUGGAAACAAAAUUGCCUACAACUGUUUAGGGUCAUGCUAUCUUACAUGCAACAUCACUUGUUCAUCUCAGGCCAACUCAUUAUAAUAAAUACUCCCUGUUUCAAUUGGUUCUGGGCCAUGAGCCAAAUAUUUUCCAUCUACGAAUUUUUGAAUGCGCUGUAUAUGUGGCCGUUGCACCACCUCAGCGUAUUAAGAUGGGCCCCCAGAGAAGGUUAGGAAUAUAUGUGGGGUUCGAAUCACCCUCUAUAAUUCGCUACCUUGAACUAUUGAUGGGAGAUUUAUUUACUGCUCGAUUUGUAGAUUGUAGAUUUGAUAAAAUAAAUUUUCGGCAAUUAGGGGAAGAAAACGUGACCUUAAAAGAGAAAUUGCGUGGAAAGUUUCAUCAUUAUCUCAUUUUGAUCCACGUACCCUCAUAUGUGAAAGUGAGAUCCGGAAGAUCAUUCACUUACAAAAAUUAGCAAAUCAAAUGCCAGAUGCAUUUACUGAUUUGUAAAGGAUAACCAAGUCACAUAUCCCUGCAACGAAUAUGCCUGUGCGAAUUGAAAUUUUAAAAGAACCAUCUUCUAAUGCAAUAACUUUUGAAUCCCAAACACGCCUGAUGCGUGGUAGGCCUUUGGGUUCAAAGGAUAAAAAUCCUAGAAAAAGAAGCGCAAAAAAUGAUAAAUAUAGUAAUGUGAAAGAUUCUCCUAAAGAGACUCAAAAUCUGAUUAAUCCUGAUAUUCCUGAAGAAAUCAGUGAACCCAAGACUCUAAGUGAAUGAAGAACUUUCAAUAAGUUCUACUAAUAAUGAGGUAAAUUUAGAUCGAAUGAAAAUUAUGGUGGAUAAUGUUUUUGCAUAUAAUAUUGCACUAAAUAUCAUGCAAGACAAUAAGGAUCUUUAACCUCUAUCUAUCGAAGAAUGUCGACGAAGAAAAGAUUGGCCAAAAUGGCAAGAGACGAUUUAAUUUGAAUUGAACUCACUUGCUAAACGGGAGGUUUUUGGACGUGUAGUCCAAACCCCAAAUGAUGUAAAACUAGCUGGCCAUAAAUGGGUCUUCAUACGUAAAAAAAAUGAGAAAAACGAAAUUGUGAAAUUGUAAGAUACAAAGCACGCCUUGUUACUCAAGGAUUUUCUCAAAGACCUGGUAUUGACUAUGAAAAAACAUAUUCACCUGUCAUGGAUGGAAUAAUGUUUAGAUACCUUAUCGGUCUAGCUGUACAUAAAAAUCUUGAAAUCCAUUUAAUGGAUGUGGUUACAGCUUAUCUUUAUGGUUCACUUGAUAACGAUGUUUACAUGAAAAUCUCAGAAGGAUUAAAAUUGCUUGAAGCAUAUAGUUCAAAGUCUCGGGAAUUAUAUUCAAUCAGAUUACAAAAAUCGUUGUACGGUCUAAAACAAUCAGAGCGUAUGUGGUAUAAUCGCCUAAGUGAGUACUUGAAAAACGAAGGAUACAUAGAUGAUGUUAUUUGUCCUUGUAUUUUUAUUAAGAAAGUGAUGUCGAGGUUUGUCAUACUCGCUAUUUACGUGGAUGAUAUAAAUCUCAUCGGGACUUCAGAAGAGGUUUAAAAGGCAAUCGAAUAUAUAAAGAAAGAAUUUAAAAUGAAAGAUCUUGGAAAGACAAAACUUUGUCUUGGUCUGCAAAUCGAACAUUUAGCAGACGAAGUAUUCAUCCACCAAACUGCCUAUACCCAGAAAGUUUUGAAACGUUUUUACAUGGACAAAACAUAUCCAUUAAGUACUCCAAUGGUUGUUCGAUCACUUGAUGUAAGUAAAGAUCCAUUCCGACCUCUAGAAAAGGGUGAAGAGAUUCUUGGUCCCGAAGUACCAUAUCUCAGUGCUAUUGGUGCACUUAUGUACCUCACUAAUGCUACAAGGCCGGAUAUAGCAUUUUCUGUUAAUUUGUUAGCGGGUAUAGUUCCUCCCCUAUGCGAAGACACUGGAACGGAGUUAAACAUAUAUUGAGGUACCUAUAAGGGACUAUUGAUAUGGGUCUGUUUUAUACUAACAAUGCUAGUCCAGAUCUUGUUGGUUAUGUAGAUGCAGGUUAUUUAUCUGACCCACAUAAAGCACGGUCCCAAAUAGGCUAUGUGUUUACAUAUGGAGGUACUGCAAUAUCAUUGCGAUCGACGAAGCAGUCCAUCGUUGCUACUUCUUCUAAUCAUGCUGAGAUAAUAGCAAUCCAUGAAGCAAGUAGAGAAUGUAUAUGACUGAGAUCAGUAGUACAUUCCAUCAAAGAGAGAUGUGGCUUGAAUCUUGAUAUCAAGGUACCUACAGUUAUAUUUGAAGAUAAUGCAGCAUGCAUAGCUCAACUAAAAGGAGGCUUUAUAAAGGGAGAUAGAACGAAGCACAUUUUGCCAAAGUUAUUCUUCACGCACGAUCUUUAGAAGAAUGGUGAUAUUGAUGUGCAGCAGAUCCGUUCCUGUGACAAUCCAGCAGAUUUGUUCACCAAAUCUUUACCAACUUCAAUCUUUGAGAAGAUGGCAGGAUUGGGAUGCGAAGACUAAAUCGAUUGAAUCGGGGUCUUCAUCAUGAGGAGUGAGAAUACGCGAAGGUUUUUAUCCUACUGAAUUUUUUCUGGUAAAGUUUUUAAUGAGGCAACACUCAAAUACGUAUUCAGUAAAUUUUUCACUACAUAGACAUCCAAAGGGGGAGUAUUAUGAAAUAUAUUUUUGGAUGUCAUUUGUAGUGGCACACUAACAUUUGUAGUGGCACACUAACAAUUAUUUUAUGAUUUCUAUUCUUGUCUUUGGCUCUAUAUAUAUAGCCAUAAUCAAUGAAAGAUAUAUAUAAAAAAAAUUCUGCAUUCUUCUUUCACGUAUUACUCCUUGCUCUUCUUUAUUUUAAUAUAUAAUUUCACACACACACACAUAUAUAUAUAUAUGGUAUGUUUUCAUAAAAGUAGGUUCUAGAAAAGAUAAAUAUACGUAUCAUGACUUUAAUAAUAGUAAGGCAGAAAGACUAUUUUAAAUAGACAUUCGAUUCAAGAUAAACCAAAGUUGAAAAAAACAUAGUAAAGGAAUGAGAAAUAAUAGGUAUAAUGGCCAAGUAAAUACGAUAACAACUUUGAAAUAAGACUAGUAUUGUCAAUAUGGGUUGUUGUGCAGUGGAUAACUGUUUCACCCUUAAUUAGAGAUCGAGGGUUCAAUCCUGAGUACGGAGAAAACUCUAUUAGGAGCGUUGCCACCCUAAUGAGCCCUGCAAUGCGCGCGAUCCAGAUUAGUUGGGCCUCCAAUGUGGACACCGAACACCGAAUAGGAAACCAAAAAAAGAAAAAAAAAAGAAAUAAGACUAGUAUUGUGACAUAAUUAAUUGUUUGUUUUCACUUUUAUCCUUAGUAAUAUAUAAAAAAAUAUUAAUAUAAUAUAAAAAAUAAAUAAAUAUGAGUAAUAAUAAAUAAAAAUAAUUUAAUUAAAUUAAUUUCUAGUUAAUGUUUUUCUUAAGAGAUGUGCAAUUUUAAAAGACGAUAACGUAAUUAAGAACGGAGGGUGUAAUUUAUAAUGAUUAAUUAAUCACAUAUGUAAUAAAAAAGAAAAAACUUAUCCAAAAACAGUCAAGAGUAUGCUGGAUAUUACCCGUUUGGUAGGGUGAAUUAUUUUCAUAAACCAUGAAUUAAAUGGUGGGAUUAUUCAAUAUAUUAUUUGGUAGCAAUUUUGAAGCUAUGUAUAACUAAUAUACGGAUUAGUUAUACAUCAUACAAUGUAUUAUAGGGUGUAUAACUAAUACACCCAAUUUGAUGGGAUUUGUAAUCCAUGAAUAAAUAUGUGUCAAAACAAAAACGCCUUCAAAUUUCUUUAAUUUUUUUCUAAAUCUUUUCAAUUUAUUCAAUGUGAGUUAUCUCUUUUCAAUUUAUCAAGAUUAUAAUAUCCCUCCAAAUAAUUUUAGUAAAAAAAAAACUACUCCAUUAACUUAAAAAAUUACUUAUUGGUCAAAAUUCGAAAAUAAAUUGCAUGAUUGCAUAUAAACUUUAAUUUUGUAAAUAGUAUAUUCAUAAAUAAAAAUAAUUUCUCUACUUAGCUUUAACAUUUUACGAAACACAAAUUUAUAUUAAUAAUAAUUCUAUUGUCUCAUUCAAAAGUUACACGUAUAUCCCUCCAACGUAAGAACAUCACAAAGUGAAAACAACAAAAAUAUGAUGAACAAAUAAAGAAAAGAUAACAAAAAAAAAAUUUGUAAGUAAAUGAUUGAAUCUUAAAAUUCCAAAGUAAAUAAUUAGUUAUAUUUUUACUUUUUUGUUUUUUUAAAAAAAAGAAUAAUAAAGUUUUGCAAAGAAAAUACAUAAAGUUGUAAUAUGUCCAAGUAUAUUUUUGUAAACAAACAAUAUUCUUUUUAAAAUAUAACAAUACAUCAAAUCAAACACCGCAUAAAAAUAAUCUCAGUAUUACUAAUUUCUGCUUAAUGGAGGUCUGAAUCUGAAUGGUUCAGACUUCAGACCAUUAAGUGCAUUUAUUUUUUAUUAAAAUUUUAGCUUUUAAUAGGUCUGAAUAAGUUUUAAUCGUUCAGAUGUAGAAUCUUAAUAGGUCUGAAUAGGUAUUCUGAUGUUGGAUAAUAUUUACCACCACUUUAUUCAUAAUCAUCAGUCACUACCUCUGUCACCGCCAUCAUUGUCAACCACCUCCACCAUUACAACCACCAUCGAUAACAAAUAUCGCAACCAACCACUAUUGUCAACCGCUACCAUACCUACUAUCUUUAUUAUUCUAAUUAUAUUUACCGUCACGACUACCGUCAACAGCACCAUCAUCACCAACCACUACCGGUCAAUCCCUACUAUCGACCAACUCAUCUAUCACAACUAGUACCACCGUUAACUACGACCACUAAUACAUUACAACUUCCGCACAUUCUUCGAUGGACACCACCAUUGUCAAUAGUAACGCCACCUUUACCAUCACUUCAAUCACUAUCAUCGCUACAAUUUAUCUCUAUUAAUAAUCAUCUCUACUAUCACAACUAACAACAUCUACAACUAGCACCAACACAUCGUCAAUCAUCAUGCAUUCAUUUUUCAGCCAUCACAAUCAAUACUUUCAACUACUAACAUUAAGCAACAUCACAUCACAACUACCACUACUACUAUCAACCACCACCAUCGUAACAUCACUAUAAUACCAACUAUCACCACUAAUAUUACUAAUCACUAACAUCAAUCAUUAUCACUAUAAUCACCAUUAUAAACCAUCUCCAGUAUCACUAACAAACAUAAAUAUUUUUUUCAGUCAAAUAAUAUAAUUUUAUUGUAUUAAAUUACAUACUUUCUAAUAUAUAAUUAAUUUUUUUAUUUAAAUUAUAUUUUUUAUUUUAUUAUAUAUAUAAAUAAUUUUUUUUACACAUUCAAAUAUUAAAAAACAAACAGUUUUAAUCAAUCCAUUUCAAAUUUACAGACAAUAUCUUAAUCAUUUAGAUUUACAUUCCGAUUCUGAACAUUUGAAUCUUUUAAAAAAAACAAAUGCAGCCUAAUCCAUGACUACUAAUCAACCAAUUAAAUAUUAUCUCAUACAGUAUACCAAACGAUCCCUAAAUGUUAACCUCGCACCCACGCCAGCCCAUUUUCUCUGUUGAAUGAGUUCUGUGUUCUGUUGAAUGUUGGUUAAGCUUGAAUGGGUUCUUUGUAGAUUUUGUGGAAGUUUUGAGAGUUGAAGCAUAAUCUUGAUUUAGUACCUUAAUGGGUUUUGGGACCGAGGGUAGAGUUGAUUGGUUGAGCUUAUUUAUGAUGGAACUGAACUUGAUUUGAUGCCUGGUGUUAAAAGUUACUUGCUUUUUUGUAAAUAGGGUGGUGGGGGUGCAAUUAGCUGCAGACCCUUUAAACUGACAGGGAGUUCUUGAUCUGUUUAUCUUGUGUUUAGAUUAAUUUUUGAGCUGAAAUGAGUUCUGUUUUCUGUUGAAUGUUUGUUGUGUUUGAAUGGGUUCUUUGUAGAUUUUGUGGAAGCGUUGUGGGUUGACGGAUAUUCUUGAUCUAAUAGCUGCAUGCAUAGUUAAUUGAUUGAAUUAGUUGAGCUUAUUCAUGUUGGAACUGAAUUUGAAUUUAUGGGAAUUGAGUGCUCAUAUGCAUUUUGUGGAUUUCGUGAGGUAAGCAGCUGUUAGCUGCAGACCCUUUUGAAAUGGCAGGGAGUUCUUGAUCUGAUUCUCUUGUUUUUGAUAAGUUUUGAGGUGAAAUGAGCUCUGUAUUCUGUGGAAUGUUUGUUGUGCUUGAAUAGAUUCUUUGUAAAUCUUUUGUGGAAUCUUAUUUAGUACCUUAAUGGGUUUACAAGCAGACAGAGGCGGAGCCAGGAUUUCAAGUAAGGGGGUUCAAUAUUCAAAGAAAACUUAGUCGAAGUGGAUUCAACUCCUGCUAUAAUCACAUAAAAAAUAAUUUUAAUCAUGUAUAAAUAGUAUAUUUUUCCGUCGAAGGGUUCGGACGAACCCCCUAAAGAGGGCUGGCUCCGCCUCUGCAAGCAGAAUGGAUGAAGAACUGAGCUUGGUUUGAUUCCCGGUGUUAAAAUUAUCUUUAUUUUUUAGCUGAAAUGGUUCUGUGUUGUGUUGAAUGUUGGUUAUGCUUGAAUGGGUUCUUUGUAAAUUUUAUGGAAGUUUUGAGGCUUGAAGGAUAAUCUUGAUUUAAUAGCCUAAUGGGUUUACUAGCAGAAUGGAUAAAGAACUGAACUUGAUUUGAUUCCUAGUUUUGAAAUUAACAUGAUUUUGUAAAUGGGGUGGGGGGGCAAUUAAAUGCUUAUGUGCAUUUAAUGGAUUUUCUCUUAAGUUGCUUGUUAACUUGCAGACUCUUUUGAAAUGGCAGGGAGUUCAUCUGUUUCUCUUUGUGUUUGAUAAAGUUUUGAUCUUUAAUGAGUUCUGUAUUUUGUUGAAUGUUGGUUAUGCUUGAUUGAGUUCUCUGUAGAUUUUGUGAAAGUGUUGAGAGUUGAAGCAUAAUCUUGAUUUAGUACCUUAAUUGGUUUAGUUUAUUGAUUGAGCUUAUUCAUGUUGGAAUUAACUUGCUUUUGUAAAUGGGUGGUGGGGUUGCAGUGAAAUGCUUAUAGGCAUUUUGUUGAUUUUCACUAAGCUGAUGCGGGAGGUUCUGCUGAGAUGGUUCGGGCAUGUGAUGAGGAGGGGCACGGAUGUCCCAGUUUGUAGGUGUGAGAGGCUAGCUUUGGAUGGUUUCAGGCGGGAUAGGGGUAGGCCGAAGAAGUAUUGGAGAGAGGUGAUUAGACGGGACAUGGAGCAGUUACAGCUUACCGAGGACAUGACCCUAGAUAGGAAGGUUUGGAGGGCGCGAAUUAGGAUAGAAGGCUAGUGCAUGUGGGAGGGACGUAGUUAGUAAUUAGGGGAGCGUUGGGGGUGGGGGGUGCCUUUGGUACGUUAGUGUAGGGUAUAACUUUGUGGGUGUUUUAUUUCUGUUGUUCCAUCUUGUUUCAUGCUUGUAUUCUUUGUCUUGAGCCGGGGGUUUAUCGGAAACAGCCUUUCUACUUCUCCGGAGGUAGUGGUAUGGACUGUGUACAUUUACCCUCCCCAGACCCCACUGUGUGGGAAAACACUGGGUUUGUUGUUGCUGUUGCUGUUAAUUAACUUGUUGACCCUUUUGAAAUGGAAGUCAGUUAUUGAUCUAUUUCUCUUUGUGUUUUGAUAAAGUUUUGCGCUUAAAUGAGUUGUGUAUUCUGUUGGAAUGUUCAUUAUGCUUGAAUGGUGUAAAUUUUAUGGAAGUUUUGAGAUGAUGCAUAAUCUUGAUUUAAUAACUUAAUUGGUUUAGUUGCUUGAUUGAGCUUAUUCAUGUUGAAAUGAACUUGAUUUUGUAAAUGGGGCGUUGGGGUUUUGCAAUCAAAUGCUUAUAUGUGUCUGAGGUACUUAGGUUCUCUCAGCUGCAGACCCUUUUGAAAUGGCAGUGAGUUCUUGAUAUAUUUCAUCUUAUGUUUCGAUAAAGUUUUGAGCUGAAAUGAUUUCUUUGUUCUUCGGAGUCUACCAAGUUUUUCCUCGAUAAAAUAAAGUAGCAACCUAAGCCUAAAGCCUGUGAGUUUAUUAGCCGAAACUGAAUCACAUGUGUGAAUUAAGACAUAAAUUGUGAAUAUUCAACAUGCUUAAUGGUAGAUCGCGGGGUCUUAGGUAAAUGAUUUGUUUGAUUAAGCAACUGAAUGUUGCUGUGCAUUAUAUUUCAGGGCUACGACAUUAGUUUUCUCAUUACAAAUUAUCAUUGCGAAGACAUGCAGAAGCAGAAGCUUAUUGAUUUCAUAGUGCAAUUCAUGGAGGUACAAUUAUUAACCCCCCAUCCCCACCCCUUUAGGACCAAGGACGACGUAGCAGUGAAACGUCUGCAUCCGUCGCUUAUGAACAACAACAACAACAACAAACCCAGUGUAUUCCCACCUAGUGAGGUCUGGGGGGUAAGAUGUACGCAGUCCAUACCUCUACCUCUGAUGAAGUAGAAAGGCUGUUUCCGAUAGACCCCCGGCUCAAGGCACGAGAUACCACACAAACACAUAGUGCAACACAGAAGCAGAUUACAUAACAUAAAUACGGCACCCAUAAGUAAUAUAAAGCAGAGGAAAGCAGGGGAAAGCACAN
This 48650-nucleotide long non-coding RNA is filed under the name Capsicum annuum. Its description in RNAcentral is "long non-coding RNA (CANN_LNC018314)". The stretch from base 14792 to 14875 matches the Rfam family "tRNA". The record is from RNAcentral. Lineage: Eukaryota; Viridiplantae; Streptophyta; Magnoliopsida; Solanales; Solanaceae.